RNAcentral lists this long non-coding RNA (66138 nucleotides) under Hordeum vulgare. RNAcentral's name for it is "long non-coding RNA (HVUL_LNC007769)". The record is from RNAcentral. Lineage: Eukaryota; Viridiplantae; Streptophyta; Magnoliopsida; Poales; Poaceae.
UGAACCUGCAACCUGGAGCUGAGCCACACACUCGCCCACGGCGUGCAGGCGGGCCCGAAGGCCCACCCCGAUCUCCUCCACGCUCUAGCCGGAGGUAGUGUCUACCUCCUGCCCGGCCGCGCGGCGCUCCUCACGGCACACCUCAACGGCGGUGUCGGCUGCGAUCCGGGUCUCGGGAAAGAGAUCUGGAGUAACGACAACCAGGACGUAAGAACACAACAAGAGGAGGAGACGGCAAAAAGACCAAACACAAAACAAGGAAAAGAGACCCACGAUGGAAGGCGCCGUCGGUCUCAUGAGAGCCCUCGAGGACCUCGCGCUCCCGCACCUUACUCGCAUGAGUAAGGCGGGCGACUUCCUCCUGGAGGGUCACAGCAGACUCCAGAGCCUUGGCCAGCUGUGUCUGCUUCUGGGCAAGGGCUUCAUCCUUCUCCCUCAAGGCGACGUCCUUGAGGUCCACCUCCUUGAGGUGAAGCGACGCGAGGCGGUCCACGUUGGCAGAGUAGGAGGCCUCCUUCUCCUGCAGCGUGGCCCGCAGCCGCUCCAGCUCGACCCGGUCAGCCGCCUCGAGCUCCUUCUUCUCCACCUGAAGAAGGUCCAGUUGCUCUUGGAGCCGGCCGCCGACGUUGCGCAGGGCAUCACGCUCCGCGGCAACCUUUCCCAGCCGGGCUUCAAGCUCGGCAAUCCGGCUAUCAGCCCCCACGUGCUGGUCCCGUAGCUCGUUGUACGCCUGUACCUGAGCAUCGUAAAGCGCCUGCCAAAGGGGAGAGAAAGGGAACAGGAUUAAGAUUCGACCUGGUUAAAAGCCUAACUAGCCCGAUUCUCGGGGGCUACACCCAGUGGGUGCGCUUGCGUGCCCCCAUUGAAGAAAACUGUGUAGGGAAAAAGGCCUCCAAGAUAUUCAGACCGGUUGGCAAUCAACCCGCCCGAUUCUCGGGGGCUACAACCAGUGGGUGCGCUGUCACACCCCCACUAACGCCAAGAGAAGAGAAAAAAUUACAAAGAAAAACCAAAGAAGGCAAUGCCUACCUGGGUGCGGGCUUCCAGGUGCUCCAUGUUGCCGCAUACCACGCGGGCCGACUGCUCCACCUUCGACCGGAUGCUCAUAAACAUCGUCACCAGCUCCGGUACGCCGAAAAGAACGGUGCCGGCGGGCAGUCGCAGGCGGGCCAAGUUCGCCGCCCGCCAUGUCUUCAUGGGCCGGCUCCGAGCCCGGCCCCGGGCCCUUGGCGCAACACGGCCAUGCUGGGGAACGACGAUGGCGCCGGCUCCUGGUGCCGGCUCGACAGACGGCUCGGGCGCCGUCCCAACCGGCGCUACCUCCCCCGCAGGAGGCGGAUGGGCCGCGUCCGGCGCAUCCAUGGUCUCCCCUGGGGCAUCAGGGGUCGCGUCCGGCGCUGUCAGGUCCAGCUCCGACGCGUCAGGAGCCGCCUCGGCCCUGGGAGAAACACGGAUCGUCUCCAGGUCCACCUGCUCCGAGGCUUCCGGUUCAGAUGGUUGGGCCCCUUCGGUCCUUGGGGCCGGCCUGGAGGCGGCCUCGCUAGCUGGCUCCUCCGCACGGACAUGUGCGGAGGGGUCAUGUCUAGCCUUCGCACGCUUCUCCGCCAGCCUCUCGACCCGGCUGGGGCGAGGCUAGCCCACGGCGGCCUUCCCCGCAGCCGUGUCCGAUCGGCGCUUGGACUCUAUCUCGAGCUCCCUCUCGGCAGCAUCAGCCGCUACCCAGCCGGCCCGUUCAGCUGCGGAGGCGGUGUCUUCAUCCGCAUCCUCUGCCCCCCUGUCAAGCAAAGCUCCUAAGGAACAAAGCUCAUUCCAAGAUGGGCAAAGGAAAAGAGGAGGAAACCAUGCCCCCCAACUACAGGGACCUGCCUCCGGCCACCGCCACGGCGCCUCUUGGCACCGCCUGCUCGCUGCCCGGCUGGAGGACCCGGCGCCGGCCGCUUAGAGGUCGGCCGGGAAGCUGUGGCACCCUUGCCCUUAUUCCCGGCUACCUCGUCAGCAACGGUCGCUCCGCCACCUUGACGCCGGCCACGCAUCAGUAGUGGGCUGGUGACCUCCUCCACCUCAUCGGAGUCUUCCUCGAAGGCUGCAUCAGAACAGAAUGAGGCUACCUCGUCGUCGUCCGUCCAGUCUGCUACGGCGUGCCGCGUGUACUCACCAGACGGCUCGGUCCCUUCCGACUCCAGGGGAUCUUCCGAGCCGGCGGAGGAGUCUGAGCGGGGCUCCAUCGCGCCUUCGUCCUCCAUCUCGGAGGCGUCGGACACCUCCACAUCGGGAGCAGGGUGACGGAUGGACCCCUGCAGGGUCUCGAACAUCUACAAAAGAGGAAUUCAACCAAAGGCUCAGCAACGCCACCGGCUACAAGACAAAACAACAGAGAAGAAUGGAGUAAGGCUACCAUCGGAGGCGGGUGAGCCCUGUUGAACGGGGACAUCCCCCAUGUCCAUUCCCCGCCCUCAUCCAUGCGGGCGGUGGAGAUCAGGUUCACCGUUCGCGCCACAACGCUCGGGGUAAACCUCUUGGUGGACAGCCGGCAUGGAUCAUGCCGGCCGCUCAUCUGGCAGACCAGAUGCGGCUGCCUUUGCAGAGGCAGAAUCCGGUGCACCACCAUGGUGGCGAGAAGGUCGCGGCCAAGGAGGCCGCUCUUCUCCAAGAUGUCGAGGUGGGCACAGAUAAGUGCCACCUCAAGAUGCAGCCUAGGAGUCUUCGCAUCCCAGUUUUGCCGCGUCGGGGGAGCGAUGGCAAAUGGGGGCAUGUUGAGGGCGUCCUGGGCCGGGUCGGCACUCUUCACGUAGAAGAAACCCUUCUGCCAAUGCUUGAUGGAGUCUUGCAGAGGCAUCUGGGGGAAGCCGGACUUCAGGCGAUGAUGCACCAACGCGGCCCCGCACGGCGUCAUGGGGCGCGGCCCAUGAGCUUCUCCACCUCGGAUUUCUCCAUGGCGAUGGAUUGCUGCUUGAAGAAGAAUAGGCUGCACCACAGAUCGACGCGAGGCUCGAUACCGACGAAGCCCUCGCACAGGACCACGAAGGCGGCCAGUUGCAGUAUGGCGUUCGGCGCCAGAUGAUGCGGCUGCAGGCCGAAGAACUGGAGCCAUUCGGCGAAGAAGGAGCUAGCCGGGAGCCCGAAGCCCCGGUAGAAAUGCUCGACGAAGACCACAACCUCUCCCGCGGCGGGUCCGGGAGCGGUCUCGGAGCUGGGGAGGCGCACCAAAACUUGGGAGGCCGGGGGCAGCAGGCGAUGGUGACGAAGCGCUUCGAUGUGCCCCUCGUCGACGUCGCUGCCCAGCCAAGCCCCAUGCGAGGACGCCUUCUGCGCCGACGACUUCUUCGAGGAGGAAUCGCCGGCCAUGGCUGCGGGUGGUGAGAGCUCCACGCGGUCGGCGAGGUCGCGACGGCGAAGAUGAAGAAGACGAAGGGCGCGAGCUCUUCUUCUCAGGACGCAAGGAGUAAGAGGGCGCGGAUGCAGGGCGAGAAGAGGGGGCGAAUGGCCUCCUCGAAACCCUCGCUUCCCAUUUAAACCCCCACGAAGCGUCGUGGGGAGGGGAUCCGGUGCGCACCAGGCCCCAUUAAUCCCGUGUAUUACGGGCGAUAACGCUCCCCUAAGCCCAACCGCCGCGGAGUAAAUCUGCACAGGAUCUCCCGCGCGGAGGCCGAGGGGGCGUCGUGGCGGGACCCAGGGCCCAGGCCCGGUCCCGUCAGCAGUAAUCGCCAUCAUUACGCCAGGCGGGGCCUGGCACGUGGAGUUCUCUGGGCCAGUUACGACUGGACCGAGGCGUCGCUUCGAAGCCACCCGGUUCCGAAGCCGGCGUCCUUCGCCGCUAAUAACAUUCAAAAUAUCAAGACAAAUCAACAAGCCGGUGAGGCCGCCCGCCCGCAGGCGGCAGACCUCGCCAGCUUCGGGGACUACUGUCGGGGGGAUAACCCCGGGGUAGGCUCAUCAAGCCUAUUCCUUCAUUUCCGGGCCAAUGGACAUGAACGUAGGAAGGUUCCCAAGGCCCAAGUCUUCUAGCCGGCUAGGCAUCACCUGCCGGCUGGAAGACGAGGCGGCCACCUUUCUGGCCGGCUAGGCAACCCCUGCCGGCUAGAAUCCAGGCGGCCUCCCCUUCAGAGCCGGCCUGGUCCCGCCAGCCGGACUGAGGAGGCGGUGGCCACACUCAAGCCGGUUGACCAAGCAGGCUCGCCGGCCGAGGAACACAAGUCACAUCAGAUCGUAGGUCAGGAAGAGACCUCACGAUUAAAGGUAGCUACGCGUCAGCAAAGGUACAGGAUCAGGGCGCCCGACACGUACGAGCGUCGGCGACCACGUCGCUGACCUACCCCGGCUCUGAUCCAUCACCUAGCAUAGUGUUGGACCGUCACACUCUCACUCCAUUACUGCACUCGACGUGGGGAACAGUGGAGGCGGUCGUACUACCUGCCCAUGAAGAAUCUCGCGGGGCGACGCUUGACGUACAACGCGUGCUCAGCGUCAGCCUUACGCGAGAGCCCCAUUGGCCAGCCGGCGGGUCCCACAGGCAAUCGAGACCAUGCAACCGGCGGGCCCCUCAUCGACAAGACAAGACCCUUGUAGGCCCCUGGCCAGCCGGCGAAGCAACCAGCCGGGUCCCACGCUUGUACCCUUUAUCCAUAUUGUAGGCCGGGGGUUCGUCUAUAAACCCCCCCGGUCACCCCCAUGCAAGGGGGACGAUCCUUCACGAGUCAUUCAGCACAACACAUUCACCAACCACAGAGAGAGAGGUAGAGACGAGCCAGCUGCUCCCGUCUUCCUCCUCCCAACACAGCUCCAGGAGCGACAUUGUACUCUGUUCCUAUACAUCAAACACUCCAGCAGGAUUAGGGGUAUUAUCUCUACGGAGAGCCCUGAACCUGGGUAUAUCGUGCGUCCCAUGCGUGUACGAACCUCGUUCCCAGCGUCCACCUUUGUCCCUUCGGUUCUCACCGACUUUAGCCUACCUAUGGCAUAUGUUGUGAGUAUUCACCGACAAAAUGCUUUCGCUUAACGGUUUACGAGGGUACGUAGACACACUCUCUUUCUUUUGUUGCUAUGCAUCUUCAUAGAUAGAUCUUGAAUGUUGGUAGGUUUUUAUUUUUUACUAUUCAUGCUUCGUUCCCUAAUAGGAAACACUUCGUCGGAGUACUUCUCAUUGAGCAUCGACCAUUCAUUUUCUCCCGUCAACCGUGGCUUGCUUGCGACACCCCGUUGAUCUUUGGGUGACUUGUGAGUUCUCACGUUCGAAAAGAAACACGGAUGGCAAUUCUACUUUCUUCGUUCUUAAAUAUAAGUCUUUUUAGAUAUUUUAUUAAAGACUACAUACAGAACAAAAUGAGUGAAUCUAUAUUUUAAAUCCUGUCUACAAACAUUCGUAUGUAGUUCAUGGUGAAACUUUUAAAAAAACUUAUAUUUACGAAGGAAUUACGAAGGAAGGGAGUACACGAGAGCUCGAGCUCUGAAAAGGACAUUCCGAUUUCUAGUAAACAAUUCAAACUCCCCAACCAUCAUCAUUAGUAGUAACAAUCGUCCUUUCUUGGAGCAACAGCUCCUUCUAACCUUUCUGGAGGUACCGUGUCAGUAUCCCACUUCCACAGAACCAGUGACGCCUAUGAGGCCAAGCAAAUUAAGCACACUACACACAUUUUUGUCUCAGCCGCGUAGAUGGCCACCACAGUCUCGCGAUCUUGUGCGAUGACCUCAGACGAUCCCGAAAGGUCCACCGUGCCCAUGCUUAAUUCAGAAAUAAAGCCAGCCACAAAACUGCACGCUUUGCUGUUUCUUUCUUUCUCCCGAUGCGACAAGAUCCUUCAGGUGGCCGGCCGGACGUCCAUCGCCUGACAGGCGCCCGCAUGGGCGCAGCCACGUCUCCACGAGGCACGAUGGAGCUGGCUCACGGGGAUUUUACAAAGGGAUCGCGUGGAUAACGAGCUCGCUCGUCGGUCUGGGAGAAAGACCGUCGGUGAGCCGUUGGUGCGUGGGUUGCUUGCUCGAUCGAUCGCUUGUGUGGUUAACUGAUGCCGUGCACUGUAAGAAUCACCACCCUGUCCGUGGAUGCAUUAUUUUACACGCCUGCGACGAUGCCACGGCGACGGAGAAGAAAAAACUACGGCAGCUUCUCAUACUAGUCUGUAGGUAAUUUGCAUCACGACUACCAAAGAUGGCUUUUUCUCACGUCUAUCUCGUCUCCCUCGCCGCAGGCGCCAUCCCGGCGUCGAUCCUCGUCGCCGGUGACUCCACGGGCCAGCGCGCAGGAGGGGGUGACCGUGGGGAGCAUUCAGGUGCCCCUUCGCAGCCGUGUACCGCAAGCCACGAUCGAGUCGGGCAUUCUCGGGCCUAGGCCCGAGUCGCGCGUUGGGCAGGGGGAGGCCUCGGCCCCGCUCCAGGAAGGCCCGCGUGCUACAGGGAGCGGGACUAGGGUUUCAGAGAUAUCCCCAUCCACUCCGCAGCGUCGCCCAUUCCAGAUCUCGCCUCCCUCUUCGGCCACUUCUGGGGAAAGCUAGGGUUUCGCCACCUAGGGUUCCACCUUCCUUCGGUUGGUGGGAAGGGAAGGUAGGGGGAGACAGCAGAUCCUUCGCAGAGGUGGCGGCGUCGCCACCGCGGAAUCCAUCCGUGCCAGGGCGAGAGAUGGGUGGCCGUGGAUUCCGUGGUGAUGGAGGUGGCGAGGGUCGCUUCGGGCGCGGCGGUGGCGUUGGUCGGGUCGGGCAUGGAGGAGGCCGUGGCGGAGGCGGACGCAACAUGGUGUGGACACGCGAGGCCGAAGAUGGCGGGCAAAACUCCUCCAAUGUAGAUCCGCGGCAAGGAGGAUCUGACAAGGCCAGAUGGGAGGCGGCGGCCAUGGAGCCACACAAGGAGGAGCCCGUGGGGAGAAGUGGGGCGACAACAGCGCCCAGGUCGCCGUGGGUGGAACCGCACGAGGACGCCAACAGGAUCUGCGCCAGUAACAAGUUCUUCAUCAACCUCCUGAACGUCGACAUCCUACUCCCGACAAGAGGAACGUCUCUCCACUAGUGGGAGGCGCUGAGGUUUGCAUUACCUGCAAGGAUCCUGGGCAUUUACCAGUGUGUUGUCCUCGUGCUAUUUGCGGUAGAUGUGGGAUUCAUGGCCAUCUAGCUCCCAUUUGCAAUAGUGUACUUUCGUGGGAUUGUGUGGCACCCAUGUGCGGUUUCCAGGCAGAGGGUAAAGGUUUCUUUUAUAUUCAUGAUCAUAGCACACCCAGUCAGACCACUGACAGAAACAGAUUCAUUGUGAUAUCUGUGGUAGAGGGACAUGCAUCUGGGAGGCAGCUAGAGGAAUUUUUUAAUGCUUACAUAAACACUAAUUGGAGGUGCUCGGCUAGAUCUAUUGGCCCUAAUACUUUUGUGAUGAGGUUUCCUUCCCCUAGAGAUGUGGACAAGGCAUGCUUUGCUGAAAGCAUGAAUGUGAAGAGUUGUGGUGUUGUGAUAAAUCUUAGAAAAUGGUAUGGAUCUGUGGGUGCUAAAGGGGUUUUGAAUGUUGCUUGGGUUAAUGUGGGUAACAUACCUUUAGACAAGAGACAUGAGAGGAAUAUUGCGUAUGUGGGAUCUCUGGUGGGGGUAACCUUGGAAAUUGACAAAGCUACCAUUAAUAGGCCUGAAUCUAUUAGAAUCAAGCUGGGUUGCACGGAUGCUGAGGACAUCCCUGCUUCAGCAGAAGGGGUGCUCGGAGGGCACUUUUAUGAUUUUUUCUUCUCUGUUGAUAAAAUCCUGGUUAAAAAUCCUCCGAGAGAAAAAAUUACAAUGCAGCAAGAAACUGAGGAAGGUAACACUGCUAAAAAGGCUAGAUUUAAUACUGAUGCAUGUGUGGAAAGAAAUAUUGCAUCCUCAUCCAAUAUGGGGGAGUCUUCGGCUCCCCCGGGAACAACUGGAGGAGGUUAUGGAAAAAAUAUGGUUAUGAAUCCUGUGGAAGAAAAUAUUGAGGAAGAGAAAAAACAAAAUGAUAGUGAGGAGAUGUUAUCUGAGGAUGAAAGUGAAGAAGUGGGUAAUGAGCUACUUAUUGAUACCAUGGUGGAAGAGGCUGAAAAGAAUCAAAAAAGGGAGAGGAGGAAAAUGUGGACUCUGAUAUGGUCUCCUAUGAUGAAAUAGUGGUGAAUUCUAUGCAGAUUGUUCCCAGUUCUGCAUCUGGUAAAAUAUUCUCAUCAUAUGUGGAAGCAUGUAUGGGGGAACCUGUGGUGACUGAGAUAGAUCCUAAUGAAUCUUCUGGUCAGCAAAAAAUGCAAUCCUAUUCGGUGCAGUCCCCUAAUAACUAUGGUGAGAAAGUGGACAUGAUUCCUACUCCGCCUGUGAGGGAGGAAAUGCAAGUCAGAUUCAGCAAAAGGAAUGUGGGGGCUAAUGUGGAGCACAUGGGUGUCAGAGCUGAGAGGAUGGCUCAAAAGAGAGAUCUGCAAGGUAAAAAAACAUCACCUGGUAAUUCUUUUGAAGUUUUAUCAAAUCUUGAGAUUAUAUCUGCUGCUGCUCAAAUGGGUGUUAGUAUUCCUGAUGAUAAUUUUUAAUCUAUAGAUAUUAUUAGAGAACUUGAGAUUUCGAGAGCUAAUAUUGCCAAAAAAGUUGAUAAGAAUGAUAAACAAUAGGAUAAAAUGUUGUUUAUCACUAAUGCUGCUCGAGAAGCAUCUCCCUUGGAUACAGAGUGGGUAGGGGAUGAGGACUUGGGUGUUAAUGAUUUUAUUGUAGUUAGAUCCAGGAAGAAAGAAAGGAAAAAAGUGAAUAUCACAAUUACUAAACCUGUGACUAGAAGUCAAAAACAAAAAGUGGGGGAUGAUGUAGGUAAGGCCAUGGCUCCCUGGCAAACCUAGCACCAAAACUCAACUCUCGAAAAAUAGAAAAAAUGAUUAGUAUAUUCUCGAAUUGUAGGGGGAUUGGGAAGAGAGGCAUGGGGACAUAUAUAUCUGAUUUGAUCAGAGAUUAUAAAUUUGACUUUGUUGGGAUUCAGGAGACUAUGAAAAAAGACUUUUCCUCUAAAUUCUUGAGGAAAUUUGACCCCGGAGAAGCCUUUAGUUGGAAGUGGAUUCCUUCAGAAGGGAAGUCGGGAGGAAUAUUAGGUGGAUUUAGAAACAAUGUGUUUGAUCUGGUGGAGUGUGUUGUGGGCAAAUACCUUAUGAAGUUUGAGUUGUGGAAUAAAAAUCUUAAGAUGAAUUGUUGUAUUCUGGUGGUUUAUGGAUCAGCGCACGAAGAGUUUAAGACUGAUUUUCUUACGGAGCUUGCGGCGAUAUGAGUCACAUUACUUUCCCCUACAUAGUAGGAGGAGACUUUAACAUCCUUAGGUUUGCUAGUGAGAAAAACAAGAGGGUGAGACUAGGCCAUUCCUCGAAUCUUUUUAACUCCAUUAUUAACUCUUUUUCCUUGCGUGAGAUGGAUAUGAAUGGUGGUAUAUAUACUUGGUCUAACAACCAACAUGAGCCAACUUUGGAGCAACUGGAUAGAGUGUUCAUGUCCAAAUCCUGGGAAUAUCUUUUCCCUUUUACCUUUGUUAGGAAAAUUGUAAGAGAGGUCUCGGACCACUGUCCCCUGAUAUUAAACACUCAUGAUAAUGUGCCCAUUAAUUUUGGCAAAAUAGAUUUUAGAUUUGAUCUAAAUUGGUUGAAUAAACCUGAUUUUACUACUCUGGUGGCUAAAAUUUGGAUGCAACCUGUCGAAUCUGUCAAUCCUAUUGAUAUCGUGAAUAUCAAGCUGAAGAGAUUUAAAAAAUAUUUUAAAGGCUGGGGCUCGAAUAACUUUGGUAAAGCGAGAAAGAGGAGAAAAUGGUUAAGGGAGGAACUAGGUCAUAUUGAAGAGUUGCAAGAAACUGAUACCUUGAGCCGUGAGCUUUACUGUAAAAAAGUGGAGAUGCUAGUGGAAUUAAACAACUUGUUACUAGAAGAAGAGGUGUCUUGGUUGCAAAAAUCGCAUGAUAAUUGGUUGCUAAAAGGGGAUAGUAACACUGAAUACUUCCACAGAACGGUGAAUGGAAGGAGAAGGAGGAAUACGAUUAUUUUGCUUAGUUGUGGAGAUAUGGUGAUUGAAGGGGAUAAGAACCUGCUUAAACAUGCCACUGAAUUUUAUAAAGAUUUGUUUGGGCCUGCUCUUGGAAACUUAUGUAAGAUAGAUAGUAAUAUGUGGGGUGACAAGGAGAAGUUGGGGGAUAUUGAGAAUUUUAUCCUCCUCAUACCUUUUUCAGACACGGAGGUUAAAAAUGCCUUGUUCUCGAUGAAACACAGUAAGGCCCCUGGACCUGAUAACAUUCCGAUUGAAUUUUUUCAAUCCUGCUGGGACAUUGUUAAAAAUGAUGUGAUGUUGCUUUUUGAAUGGUUUUACAAGAAUAAGCUUGAUGUAGAGAGGCUUAACUAUGGUAUAAUAACACUGUUAACUAAAGUGGUUGGAGCUAGCAAGAUACAACAGUUCAAACCUAUAUGCCUUUUAAGAUGUGUUUACAAGUUGAUUACAAAAGUGCUUACUAUCAGAUUGGAACCUUUUGUGGAUAUUCUGUUUAGUAGGCAUCAGAAUGCUUUUAUCAAGAGCAGAGAUAUUAUGGACGGGGUCAUGUCAUUACAUGAAAUUUUGCAUCAUACGUAUGUCCGUAAGAAAACAGGGAUUGUGCUCAAACUUGAUUUUGAGAAAGCAUAUGAUAAAGUUAACUGGGAAUUCCUGUUGGAUUGCCAUAGCAAAAGAAACUUUGACACCCGAUGGAUAGAUUGGGUUCGGAGGAUUUUGGUAGGUGGCACCAUUAGUGUGAAGUUAAAUGAUGAGGUGGGAGAAUAUUUCCAGAGUGCCAAAGGAGUAAGACAGGGUGACUCCCUUUGUCCUUUCCUCUUUAACCUGGCUGUUGAUUGUCUUACAAGGAUGGUCCUUAAGGCACAGGAGAAUGGUUUGUUUACUGGGUUAGCAGCAGAUUUAGUGGAGCAUGGGGUUGCUAUACUUCAAUAUGCUGAUGAUACUGAAUAUCAAAUUAUUGCUUUAUCCGUUUGAGGUUAUGUCAGGCUUGAAAAUCAACUUUUUGAAAAGUGAGAUUUCUCUCAGUAGGUGCUGAUGAUGAAACUAUGAGAAAUUAUGCUGAAAUGUUCAAUUGUGAGAUUGGAUCCUUGUCGUGGUUUUGUCACGGCAGAUGUCCUCGAGAAAGGACUUAGUACUGGAGCCAUCGCACCUUGGUGGCGACUCAAAAGGGGUUAAGCGGGAGAGACACGGCGAUUUACCCAGGUUCGGCCCCUGUGAGGAGGUAAUAGCCUACGUCCUGCUUUGGUGUGUAUUGAUAUGGAUUCGAUUACAAGAAAGGCGUAACUCGCCUAAAUCUAGCACUCGAUGAUUUCUAACCUACCUCUCCCCCUCCAGACUCGCCUUUAUAUAUAUAGGUCGAAGCCUUAGGGUUUUACAAGAGUCCCUUCCUCUUUACAAAUCGUGACCACCGCGGUCUCUAAGUCGCCGUCUUGCAAAACCCAGAGACCUUCCAUAAAUCAUAACCAUCCUGCGACUUUGAACCGCCCAGGCUGAGGCCCAACUAGCCCUAAAGGAUGAAUCGCCUUACAAGUAACCCGGCCCAUAUUCGGCGGGUCACUUAACAGGCAAUAUCCCCAACAUUAGGCCCCAAAUUGACUUGAAUCUUCAUGCCAAUGCUUCCGUUUUAGUUGAAGGUGAUUCACUCCUCUGUGUUCCUCCAGACGCCAGAAAUUUUAACUCGCCAACUGGUACCGGAAAAAUUCUUUGAGCCGCCAAUGCAUUUCCCGUCAGCACUUUCCUUAGCCCUCGAUUUUCGGGAACUCCAACACAAUCCCAACGGAUCUUUUAGUGCAUCAUUAUCCCAAAAUUUUCGGACGUCAUCAUGGCGAAUCUUUUCUUCCUCGACGGUUCCCGCUCACGGCGCCUCGAUCCCCGCGCCCGUCCUGAUAAAUAGGCGGAAGGGACAGGGCUGACACCGGCCACCUACCAGUCUCGUCAGUCCCUCCACCAUCAUUACAGCGAGAAGAGACACUCCGCAUCCCGAAGGCUUCGCCGCCGGCCGCAAGCUCCACCCCCGUCCGAAGAACUCCAGUGCUGCCCGCAAGCCGUCGCCGUUCGAGGAGCUCCGGUGCCGCCCGCAAGCCGUCGCCGUUCGAGGAGCUCCAGCGCCACCCGCAAGCCGUCGCUGUUGCCAGGCUCCGCCGCCGCCGAGGGUCCCUUCAUUCUCCGGGACCCCUGCGCUUCUCCAACAGCCUCCAUCACCGCCAAUCUUCUUCGACCAAGAUCUUCAGGUUAGGCCACUGUUUCCCCUUCUUUAAAGGUAGAUUUAUUUUUUGUUCAUGCUUCCGCCAUUGCCAUGCUUCCGCCAUUGCUAUAGUUCCGAAGCCCUCCGCUCGCAACCAUCUAUUACCCUCGAACUGAUUUAGUCCGAGCGCCAUUUGGGCACCCAGUGCCUUGGAUAAUCUUAUCCAUCUGUGCUCUUGCGAAUUUUCUAAACACACUAGUUUCUUCAAACAUGAUGCACCACCCAGAUCACACAUCGUUCAUGUUUUAGCCAUAUCCGCAAGUUUUUAUAUCUGUUCAACAGAUCCAUUCCUCAUUCACUGUUUGUAAAAAGCUGUUUGGAAACUUCGUCCUUCCCUUAGUGUUUCGGGAAGAAUAAAUUUCAUCACCCACAGUAACAUCGCUUCUGAGAAUAGCCCUGCUCCGAUAAGUCGCCACAUCAGCCCAACCCGGCCUCCUAGUCCGGCGGGUUAAGCAAGAGCUGAUCCCGAUUCACAUAGUAAAUGUUCGAGACAUGUAAUACCAUAUUCUUACCUAUUUGUAGCAUGGGUGCCGUUUUCAAGAGCGAUUGGCUUCCUACCAAAGUCGAUGAUGCUGUUUUGGCGAAUUACGUGAAAGCGGGCUGCUUGGAUCCUCAAUACGUCAUUGGAUGGCGCACCGGGUUCGGAGAAGACCUCCCCAACCCCAAGGAAGGGGAGAUAGUAGUUUUUGUGGAACACUUGGAACGGGGUUUUAAACCGCCCGGAUCUAAAUUCCUUAGGGACGCUCUGCACUUCAUGAAUGUCCGACUCCAGGAUUUGGGACCCAAUUCCAUAAGCAAUCUAAGUCAAUUCCAAGUCCUUUGCGAAGCUUAUUUGCGGAUCGAGCCUUCCGUCCCUCUGUUUUGGUACUUUUUCCACUUGAAUCGCCAGACGGAAUUCCACAAUGGCCCCAGUUUGGAACUUGGCGGGGUCAACGUCCAGCGUCGCAGGGACAGUCCGUUUCCUUCACUCACUAUGCCUAGCCACCCCAAAGGCUGGGGUGAAUCUUGGUUUUAUUGCAAAGAAACAUCCCCUGCCGGCGAGAACAAACUUCUGGGCUACAGGCCAACCCGCCUUCCGAUCAAUUUUAAGCACCCUGACAAGCUCACCGAGGAAGAAGAGUCGGACUUCAUCCCAAUUCUGUCCGAACUGAGAUCCUUGACGAACAACGGUCUCACCGGGGUUGACUUGAUCCGCUGCUGGGUCGAAUGGCGGAUCCUUCCUCUGAGCCGCCGAGAUGGCCUGAUGUGCGAAUUUGACGGUACUCUGGAUCAUCCCCAAUGCUACUUCCACACAACAUUAACGGAAAAAGACAUCGUCACCAUCAUCAGGAAACUGACCGGCGAACCUGCAGCAAAAUGCAGCCAAAUCGGCCUUAAGCCCUUCUGCAAGAUUAACCCGGCACCCAAGGUAACCAAAGCUAACUCGCCCUCAACUUUUUAUUCCAUCUGUUUUACUGCCAUCAUGACUUCAUGCCAUAUCCCUUUCCAGAAAGGCGACAAGUUCUGGUCUAGGAGACCUAAGAAACAAGCCAUGAAGAGUGCUAAGCCGCCUUCCAAGAAAAACAAAGGCAAAGGUAAAUCUACUGCGGCCGAGCCAUCUGAAGUCGACGAAUCUCAAGCUGGCGACGCACUCUCUGAGGUACCAAUCUGUCCUCUUUUUCACUCGCCACCUAUCACCUUUUAACUUUUAUUUAUCUCUCACUCCUCUUAUAAUAGAAUGAAGAUAAUGAAAGCCAGGAAGACUCUGUCGAGGUAAUUUCCGUCUCCUCCGAUUCAUCUCCUUCUCCACCUAAGCUAGCCCGGCGAAUAUGUGGGAAAGUACCUCUCUCACAUCCAAAUGCCCAUUUGGACCCAAAUUUCUUACUGAAGAAAACGCAGCACGCCUCGAAACGGAAAACGCGAAGUCACUCUGGCGACCUAACACCUGGCUUGCCAACAACGAACAAAAGAAGACCAAGCGAGGUACCUCCUUUUUUUUAUUUGAGCAACCAUUGUUCGUGUUGCUUUGGAUCAUAGUCAUAACCCGCCUGUAUUAUCGAUGUACAAAUUCUGCAGGAUUCUCCCCCUACUUCUGGCGACUCAGUGAUGUCGACCCUUCCACCAAUGAUCCGAGUCCCGGGGUAAGUUUCUUGUCCUGAUCCUUGAGAAUAGCACUCUUUUUAAUUUUUUAACACACCUAUCUCUUUCAUUAGGGCGCAAGCCAAAAAGAGGAAGACCAGUGGAUCAAUCCCUGACGCCACUUCUGAACUUCCAAGGAAAGCUACUCCGACUCAAGAAGAUCCGAGUCAAAACGAGCCGACAAUUCAAGCAAACCCUCCUGAGUCGCCCAAAGGAUCAACGGAUGUCCCUAGAUCACCGGUCGUAAUGGCGACAGCUGAUGACCCAGAUGCUGUGGUCAUUACUGGUUUUGGUUUCUCCAAGCCGGCAGCGACAAUCCUCUCCAAACAUAUAGCAUCCCCUUCUCCAUCAAUUCCCGAGUCUGGGCCUUCCAAGGCGAAACUUUCUGACUAUGCAAGUCUGGAGUUUAAAGAACUCUGUUCUGGCUUCGCAAGUCGCCUGGAAGCGAGUUGUGAGAUGGAAAAUAAUCUGCUAAAGAUGUUAAAUAACAAGCAUGAGGUAAAAUUUUAUACUCUAUACUAUCUCCAUUAACCCCCAAUGGGCCGGCUCAUCAGUAAAAGGAUGAGCCGGGUCUUGAUUUCUGUAUGAUCUUUCUUGAAAAUUAUACAUUAGCCCCCAAGUGUCAGGGGUAUUGCCUUGCAAUAUUGAUGAGACUUGUCUUUGUUUUAAAUUUUGAACAGGAAAGCCUUGCCCAGACCGAACUGGCCCUGGGCGACUUAAGGAAAAACUUGGCUGACCAACAAGAUGCCCGAACUCAGUCGGAAGACAAAUAUAAGUUGGCUCUGGUUGAAUUGGAAAAUCUCAAAGCCGAGUUAGAAAGAACUCAGGCUGACCACAGCGCGGCUUUGACGAGAGCCGAAAAAGCAGAAGCAAAGCUGGCAACUGUGCAGCAGGAGCUAUCCGGCUUAAAGCGCCAUAUCUCCAACAUGACACAAGCCAUCUUUGGUAAGCUUUACCUAACUCUCCAAUCUUAUCCUCUUCCUUGGGCAAAUUCCUUAAUGUUAACUUACCGGUUAUUCAAUCCCAGGCUCGAGAGUCGCCAAUCUGCAAGAUGACUGCGUGUUGAUGCUGAAGGCAAUCUAUACACUAACGGAACAACUGUACACAGGCAGUGUGCUGACCGUCAAAGCCGUGAUAGGUGCAAAAGAGCCCAUAACUUCCAUCAAGAAGGUGCUUGGAUAUCUAUCCACACUUUCUCCCCAGAUCGGCGAGUUAACCCGAUCAGCCGCCCGGAAGGGUGUCCUGACGGCUCUGAGUCGCUGCUUGGCGUACGCUCCGGAAAUUAAUUUGGAAGAAGUAGCUGCCGGCUUCCCUCAGCUUAAAGAUGACGCCUCGGAGUUCGUGGAAGAAGACUACCAGAAGGUUGUCAAAGAUUCUCGGCUGGCCGCCACUCAACUUGCCGCCAGCCUUGACUUGACAAAAUAUCAGGCGGCUUACAAUGAUAAGAAUAAGAAAAUCAGCCCGCCAACCUUCGUGGUGACCAACCUAAUCCCUCGGCGACCCAAGAAUCCCUUCGACUGGGAAACAGACCUGGCAUCAAUCUUGACCGAUGAAGACGAUUUUGCCUCUUUGUCCAGAUGCAAUUGGGUCUUGGGCGAUUUACAAAUCGAAGCUGGUCAGAGCUCACGCCAGGACUUAGCGGAAUAGAUUUUCCUUGAAUUGGGCCCAAGAGCCAUGUAAUAGUCAAUACUAUCUUUUGAUGACAUCUUCUGCAAAAAAAAAACCCUUAUACCGCUUUCGAGGCGGUUUAAAAUAUUUUGUUAAUCUUUAUCAGAAUCGCCUGUAAUGCUCAACCCGCCAAGGAUGAAACCUUGAACACAUUAUCUGUGAAAACAAAAGAACUACAAAUAGUUUCAACGAAUAUGCAGUGAGGAUAAAAAUCUCCAAGGUCAAAUCAUAACACGAGUAAUUUUGUCGGCUCAUACGGUCGCGACAGAGGGAGGCGAGUCAGAAAGNCGCGACAGGGGGAGGCGAAUCAGAAAGCUCGUGCACCCACCCUUAAUGCAUGUUCUGUCGGCUCAUAAGGUCGCAACAGGAUGCAUGAAAUUGCUCUCUUUUUUUUUUAAAGAAGAAGCCCCCAAGUCAGGGAAACAUUAUAUUAUUCCAUAAUGAAACUGAAAAACUUACAAAGCAUGGAGUUUUAAGAACUCAAGUGUAGUAAGGCCGCAAAUGGGCAAUAUUCCAAGGGCGAGUUGACUCAGCCCCCGUAGUCGGUCGAUCAGGCCGAAGAUCCAUCAAGUAGUAAGAGCCAUUGCGGAGGUUCUUGCUGACAACGAAAGGCCCCUCCCAAGGGGGCGAAAGCUUGUGCAUGCGUGCCCGAUCUUGUAUCACACGAAGCACCAAAUCGCCUUCCUGGAAAGUCCGACUCUUCACCCGGCGACUAUGAUAACGCCGCAGAUCUUGCUGAUAGAUCGCCGAACAAGCCGCUGCUAAGUCACGUGCCUCUUCCAAGGCAUCCAAAGAGUCCUGACGCGCCAACUCGUUGUCUCGCUCCACAUAUGCGGCGACUCUAAGAGAAUCAUGCCUUAUGUCGGUAGGGAGGACGGCUUCUGCUCCAUAGACCAAAAAGAAAGGGGUGAACCCCGUGGACCGAUUCGGGGUGGUCCGGAUGCUCCAUAAUACCGAAGGUAACUCCUCCACCCAACAUCCUGGAGUUCUUUCCAGGGGAAUUAUGAGCCGAGGUUUGAUCCCUCGCAAUACUUCCUGAUUCGCCCGCUCGGCCUGCCCGUUUGACUGCGGGUGAGCAACUGCAGAGAUAUCAAGCCGGAUAUGUUCACGGCGACAGAAAUCCAGCAUCGCUCCUUGGGAAAAGUUAGUACCAUUGUCCAUGAUGAUACUGUGUGGAUAUCCAAAACGGAAAAUCAGCUUCUUCAGAAAUUUGACCGCAGUCUCCGCAUCGCAAGCUCCAACAGGUUCCGCCUCAAUCCAUUUAGUGAAUUUAUCAACCGCCACCAAUAAGUGAGUUUUCUUGUUGGAGGACAUCUUAAAGGGACCGACCAUGUCCAGCCCCCAGACCGCGAAAGGCCAAGUUAUGGGGAUCAUCCUCAAUUCUUGAGCCGGCACAUGAGCCUGUCUCCCAUAUCGUUGGCACCCCUCACACCGCCGUACUAUAUCUUCUGCAUCUGUGUGAGCCGUCAACCAGAAGAAACCGUGUCGAAAGGCUUUUGAUACCAAAGAACGUGACCCGGCGUGAUGUCCGCAGUCUCCAGAAUGGAUGUCAUUUAGGAUUAUGCAUCCUAUCUCGGAAGAAACACACCGCUGAAAGACCCCUGAAGCACUUCGUUUAUAUAGCUCGCCAUUAAUGAUGACCAUGGACUUGCUACGCCGAACAAUCUGGCGGGCCAAAACUUCGUCAGUGGGUAACUCGCCACGAGCAAGAUAAGCUAGAUAAGGAAGAGCCCAAUCCGGAGCGACAUGGAGAGCCGCCACAAGCUGAGACUCGGGAUCUGGUAUCGCCAAUUCCUCCUCCGUGGGUACAGUCACGGACGGUUUAUGCAGGACAUCCAAGAAAACAUUAGGGGGGACCGGUUUUCUCUGUGAGCCGAGUCGCGAGAGGGCAUCAGCUGCUUCGUUGAGUCGCCGAUCAACAUGAUCAACCUGGUACCCAUGAAAAUAGCCCGCCACGUCAGAUACAGCUCGCUUGUAAGCCGCCAUCAUAGGAUCUCGAGAGUCCCAGGUGCCCGAAACCUGUUGUGCCACCAAAUCUGAAUCCCCAAAGCAUCUGACUCGGGUUAGGUUCAUCUCUUUUGCCAGUCGCAAACCGUGAAGCACAGCUUCAUACUCUGCCGCAUUAUUUGUGCAAGGGAACAUGAGCCGGAGGACGUAGCAGAACUUAUCUCCUUGAGAGGAUAUCAACACCACACCCGCCCCCGAGCCCUCCAACUGCCUGGAUCCAUCAAAAUAAAUAGUCCAAUAGGUAAGGUCAGGCCGAUCUUCCGGAGCCUGAAGCUCCGUCCAAUCAUUGACGAAAUCAACUAGUGCCUGGGACUUGAUGGCCGUGCGGGGGGUAUACUGUAUGUGAUGUGACCCAAGUUCUAUUGCCCAUUUGGCGAUUCGCCCUGUUGCCUCGCGGUUUUGGAUGACGUCACCGAGGGGCGCGGAACUGACCACGGUGAUCGGGUGUUCCUGGAAAUAACGUUUAAGCUUUCGACUCGCCAUGAACACCCCAUAGACCAGUUUCUGCCAAUGUGGGUAUCGCUGUUUGGAAAGAGUUAACACCUCACUGAUAAAGUACACCGGGCGUUGUACCGGGUAUUCCUUUCCUUCCUCCUUUCUUUCGACGACCACAGCCACGCUGACCGCUUUGGAAUUCGCGGCGAUAUACAGGAGCAUAGGCUCCUUUUCAGUCGGGGCCGCCAGGACCGGCGGGUUAACCAAUUGAUGUUUCAAGGCCUGAAAUGUCUCGUCAGCCUCCUCUGUCCACACGAAUCGGUCGGACUUUCUUAACAAUUGAUAAAGAGGAAUCGCCUUUUCUCCGAGGCGGCUCACGAAACGACUGAGAGCCGCAAUACGACCCGCCAAUCGCUGAACUUGGUUAACAUUCGUCGGCUUGCCGAGGGAAGUAACCGCUUCAAUUUUGUCCGGGUUAGCCUCGAUGCCGCGCUCCGAUACCAAGAAACCCAGUAGUUUUCCCGCAGGUACGCCGAAAAUGCACUUGGUAGGAUUUAGCUUCAUCUGAUAUACCCGUAAAUUAUCAAAGGGUUUCCUUAAGGUCUUCCAUAAGUGUCUCCUCCCGGCGGGUCUUGAUCACAAUGUCGUCAACAUAGGCAUGAACAUUGCAGCCAAUUUGGCUAUGAAGACAAUUCUGGAUGCAGCGUUGGUAAGUCGCCCCUGCGCUCUUGAGACCGAACGGCAUGGACACAUAGCAAAAGGCCCCGAAGGGGGUUAUGAAGGCAGUCUUCUCCUGAUCUUCCACAACCAUUUUGAUCUGAUGAUAACCUGAAUAAGCGUCCAAAAAGCACAAUCGUUCGCAUCCCGCCACCGAGUCAAUGAUUUGGUCGAUGCGGGGAAGAGCGAAAGGAUCCUUGGGACAAGCUCUGUUGAGGUCCGUAUAGUCAAUACACAUACGGAACGUGCCAUUCUUCUUGAGUACUAACACCGGGUUAGCUAGCCAUUUGGGGUGAAAGACUUCCACAAUGAACCCGGCGGCUAAAAGACGGGCGACUUCCUCUCCAAUCGCCUUCCGUCGCUCCUCGUUAAACCUGCGAAGGUAUUGUUGGACAUGUUUGCAUUUUGGGUCAAUAUUAAGAUGGUGCUCAGUGAAUUCUCUCGGUACACCCGGCAUGUCAGAGGGCUUCCAUGCGAAGAUGUCCCGAUUCUCACGGAUGAAUUCGAUGAGCGCGCUUUUUGUGAUGAACCUGAAUCGGCUCAGCAUUUGUUCUUUGGGUGCUCGGUAGCCAAGGUAGUUUGGAGGACUGUAGGUGUUGUGUUUGGUACCAACUAUAUUCCAAAAUCAAUUUGGCAAGUUUACUCUUGGUUGUAUGCUUUUUUGCCUGUCUUGUGUGAUAUAUAUAUUGUUGGCUUAGCUGCAGUUUGCUGGUCUAUCUGGUUGGCUCGGAAUCGGGCUACCUUUGAAAAGAAGUGGAUCAAUACUCCCUUUGAAAUUAUUUUCACAACCUCUGCGUUUAUUGAAUAUUGGGCAGGUCUGCAAAAACCUGUGGUGGCGGAGAUGGUCAAGAAGGGAGCUAAAUUGCUGAAAGAAAACGCAUCCCACAUGCUGCUGCUAUGUGGACCUCCGAGACCAGAGUCUACCGAACAGGCUGAUGAGGAAGAAGGCUGGGAGGAGUGGUAAGUGUAGUUGAAGAUAGUGAUUUCUUGAUGGUGGCUCUUGCUGGUUACAUGCAGGCAUUCUGAGAGACAGUUUAUUUUGCUCAUGAUGAAGGCUCUUUUAGUCUGGGGUUCCUAUUAUGUUCUGUGCUCUUUUAUGAGCCUCGUCUGUAUGUGGUUGUAUGGAACUUUGUUAGCGGUACUGUCAUGUGGUAGUUUAGCUUUUGGUCUGUGCGCAGUGACGGAUGAUAUCAGGUUUUUGCCUCACAGUUUAUGUUCGUGAUGACAUGCAUAAACGGUGGGUUUUCUGGUAUUGUUACGAGCUCAUUUUUUUCCCUUUCUCUUUUUUUUUUGGUUCUGGUUUCAAAAACGUCGUAUUUCCGUUAUGAAAGUAAUGAAAAGGGGAGAAGCCUCGGAAAAAGCUUCUAGUACUAGUCACCACUCACCACCGUCGGGAGCGCGAGCGAGCGUGCGAGGGAAGGCGGGUCACACUCACACGUACUUGCGCGCGGGGGGCAGAAAAUAGAUCCGGGAAAACGACCACGCACCGUACGGAGAUCACCGCCGCGCACACGAUGGAUCGACCGAUUGAUUGGGCCGCAAGGGAGUCUGGUGUGGCAGGGGAGGCAGACCGCUCACUCCGGUGACCACCGAGCAGGAAGGAAGAACAGUGUGCGUGCGCGAGGCUUUACCCAAGUGUAAAGCAAGCCAGACGAACGAAGCCUCUCUGGUCACUUUACCGCCAGUCCGUCCGACUCGAUGCAUACAUUACACGCGCACCACCACCACCACCACGCCACCAGCUCCUGGCCACCAGCCAUUGCUGGGGGCGUAUAAAGGUCGGGGGGCAGAGGACGGCCCACGGCGCUCAGCAUGGGGUGGCUCCGGUCCCUCGUCUCCCCGCUCAGGAAGCUCUGGUGCAACAUGAACACCGUGCCGCGGAAGAGUACGUCCGUCCUCCUGCUUGUUGCUUCAGAUACAGUCUCUGUUCUUCUUUCCUGCUUCUGAUCGUGUUCUUGUUUGCUGUUUACAGAGAGGGGGAUCUACAUCCUGUACGACGACGUCAAGUCGUGCCAGUGCGAGGACGUGCACGUGCUGUGGUCGAUCCUCGUCGAGUCCCACGGCCUGCCGCCGCCCACGCCCACGCCCGUGCUCAGGCUGAAGCGGUGAUCGGAGCAUCGGCGCGGCGCCCCCUGAAUAAGGAACGGCCGGCACGGCGGUGUCGCCGUGUCUGGCUCCAUGGGAGGUGAACCAGUAACAGCAUGGGAGUAGCAUAUGGUAGUAUGAUUCUGAUGUAAAGCACAGUACAGGGGUUGUUUACAGUUCAUCCGGCCUUCGUCCAGCGCCUCUUUUGGAGCUGCUGCUGGGACGAGAGAGCGAGGCCACUGCGUUUGCGGCUUGACGAGUGUGGUGAUGGGCUUUCUUCGAGCGCACCCCUCUUUUGAGUUUUGGUUGAUUGACGCGUCGUUUUCUGUCUAAGACUGCACCUGGAUGCGGCUCUUUUAAAACCCCCAUUGCUCGAGUCGAAAAAGAAAGGAAAUAAUAUUCAGCAUUUAUUUUGAACUCUCAUUGCCAUUUCUGUGCUGUUUCCGUUGAUGUUUGCUUUGCGGAAUUUUUGUCAAAAAGACCACUAGCCGAAUGUUAUUGUCAAAAAAAACCAUAUACGGUAUGAAAUGCGAGAAAAGACCCUCGUUUUUCGUGACGGCAGGCGCGCCAGGUGACGCGUGGCACCUGCCGUCACGGGCCGAGGCGGCUGGGCCCCGCCGCCACCCGGCGAGGCGGCCAGCCGGGCAGGUGGCACCUGCCGCCAGCACCCGAGGCGGCUGGCGGGAUGCUGUGCAUGGCAGCAUGCAUGGCCGUGCAUGGCCGUGGCAUGGUCAGCCAGCUUUUGAGGCAUUUAUGUGCGAGCAUGGGUAGCCUGCCGCCUGGAGUGGUGGCGGCAGGUGCCACCUGCCCGGCCGGCCGCCUCGCCGGGUGGCGGCGGGGCACAGCCACCUCGGCUCGUGGCGGCAGGUGCCACACGUCACCUGACACGCCUGCCGCCACAAAAAAUGAGGACAUUUUCUCGCAUUUCAUACCGCAUGCGGUCUUUUUUGACAAUAACAUUCGGUUAGUGGUCUUUUUGGACAAAAAUUCUGCUUUGCGCACAUGCAAGUGGGUGCUUCUGCUCUCCCUUCGCCGGAGCCGGCGGAGGGUACACUGUUCAAAAUUUCAAAUAACUGAUCGUAGCACCAAAUGCCUGCGAUGCAUCAUUUGAUGCUCCGUCCUUUUCCUCUUCCAUUAACUGGGGUUAUGAUCUUUUUUUUUCUCAGAGAGAGAAAUCUGUUUUCUUUCUGGUUGAGGUCUUACGGGUGACUUGUGAGGCCUCCUAACCAGCACAUUUUCUUUUUAGAAUUCUCGUCCAAUUUUAUUAAUGCAUAAUAAUUAUAGGUACAAGUUUAUUUUUUACGAGAAUUAUAGUUACUAGCAAAAGGGCCUGUAGGUUGCAACGGAAGAAAAACAAUUAUAAUCUCCAACGGUGCUGAUCAUAUUAUGUCUCUAAAAUUUUAGAACAUUUCUUGAAAUGCAUAACAUUUUUUGAAUUAGCAAACAUUUUUUUCAAUUGCACUCAAAAAAUAAUACACAAACUUUUUCUUUCAAAAUCAUGGACUUUUAUUGUUUUCACCAACAUUGUUCUCAAAAUUAUGAACACUUUUCUGAAUAUGCGAAUAUUUUUACAAAAAUCCCAAGCAUUUUUUGAAUUCACAUUUUUUUGUUUUCUUCAAACUUUUAUUUCGAAAUUCUCAGUUUUAUAAAUUGCAAAAGUUUUUCAAAGUUUUAAAUUAUUUAAAUUAAAAAAUGGAACAGAAAAAUGAAAAUAAAAAACGAGACUAAAAACAGAGGCACGAACUGUUUUUAAGAUUUUUACACGGACUUUUGUUUAAAAUCAUUGACUUUUUUUUAUUUUAUGGACAUUUUCUCAAAAUUUAAUCAUUUUUUAUAUGCAAACAUUUUUCAAAUCUCAUGAGUAGUUUUUGAAUUCUCAAAAAAAAGUUUUUUUGAAUAUUUUAUUUCGAAAUUCUCAGUUUCUUAAAAUUGAGAAAAGUUAUUUGAAGUUCUAAAUUAUUUAAAGUAGAAAAACAAAAUGGAACUGAAAACAAAAAUGAAAAACUAAAGUAAAAAACACAGGCGCCCACGCAUGGGCCGGCCCAGAUAGGUGUGCUGCAUCAUUUUCCCACGUCUAGAGUGUAAUAUAGGAGGUGCCUACAUGGGCCGGCCCAGUCCGGAGAUUUUCCUGUUUGAAACGUUUUCUAUGACUUAUCAGUGGCACUGGUGGGUAAUUUUAGCCAACUUUAGGGGCAACUUGAAUGACGUACGACGUAUUGGGUGUAUCCGUUUUUAUCGAAGCUUUGAUUUUCGUGCUUAUCUUAGUUGUCGGUUUAGUUUAUGCAUGGCGAAAAGGAGCCUUGGAAUGGUCUUAACUCAAUAUUUAGACAAAAAAGGAGGAAAAGAUUCUAUUGAGAUAAUUAUGAAUUUGAUUGAGUUGAAUGAUGUACGGCAGAAGCAGUAUUUGCUUUAUUAGUAGGUAAGACAUAUUCAUCAGACGAACCUUCUCACGCCAAUUCCAUUCGUCGACAAGCCUUAUCCUUUUUCUUUGACCAGCAAACUAGAGGGUAUUUUAUUCCUUAUCAAAUAAUGUUACAUCGUUGAUAAGCGUCCGCAUAAGAAAAGUAGGGGGAAAACUUUUUAGGUAAUAAGAAAAGUAGGGGUUCAUCGAUCCAGGUACAAAAAUCAGAAUAAAACAAAAAUGAUCUAGCUAUCUCAUGUGCUGCCACAUUUGCUUCCUUAGGGCAUAACUCAUAGGAAACAUCAUCAAAGGCACUUGCAUGCAACAUCCAGUCAUGGAAAAUUGUUGAACUUGCAGUCGUAGAAAACCCUCCAAAGAUAAGAGUUGAUAUUACCUCUCAUUGUGAGACUGAAGAAUAACCCUGUAAUGCCCCAUUUGCUGAGCAAACCAUACGCCAUCUCGAGCGGCAGCAACUUCAGCCAUAAGUACAUCUAUUGCUCCUUCAAUUAUGAAGCAUAGAGCGGCCACAAAUCCUCCAUUAGAAUCUCUAAUCACCACCCCUGAAGCGGCCACUUGGGUUUCAGGAUUAAAAUAAUCAUCCAUGUUUACCAUGUAAACUCCUUCACGGGGUUUGUGCCAUCCUACUCGAGGCUUUUGAGGUUUUUUCUUCAUGCUUCUGAUAUAAUUAAGCGUUAAAGCACUGAUUGACAUCACAUAUCGUUUGAUCGGCUGGCUGUCCUCUCCAUGUGUUCUUGCCUUCUCUCCCACCAAAUAUACCAAGCGGUAUUUAGAACUAGCACUCGUAUGCGAACUUAUGGGCAUAAGGGCGCUGGAUGGUCAUUUUUUAAAAGCUCCUCGAACACAAUAGCGCCAGAUCCGUAGGCACACAAAGCCACGUCUACCUUUUGUUUUACUCCUAAUUCCUUCCAAAUUUGCCUUGCUCUAGUAUAAGUAAGAAAGCAUAUGCUUCAAAUAUUCAUAUCCCAAUGGACACAAAGUGCAUUGACACGAAUCAAUGACGUGUCUACGUGCUAAUAUACCCAUACACAUGAUCGAUUCUUUCAGUGCUCUCCAGCGAAAAACUUUCACUUUUGGUGCCACAGUAGAUGUCCAUAAAUUUCUCCAAAACUCCCUAUCUCCUGCGUGCACUAUGUCCUGGUCAUUGGCAUAACUUCUUCUAAACUUAUGAUUCCACUCGCCAUAGUAGGCCGAUUUUACAGAAAACAUGCUUGUUUUUGAAUUAUGCCACGCAACAAAAUCCUAACGAUCAUCCACUAGUGGAUUUGACAAUAUGGAUUUAGCAUCAACCGGCCAAAACAUAUCCCUCACGAGCUCCUCAUCCCACCGACGAGAGACUGGAUUGAUUAGAUCACAAACUUUUUCCACUAAGUUCCCACCUUUAGGUGUUAAAACUUGUUGGUGUCUUGUGCUUCUUCUUGUGUGUUCUGGACCUUGCCAUGACUCUUUUUGUCGCCUUUUCUGCGUGUUUGUGUUGUGUGUCACAGGUGGUGGUUCCCGUCGUUCUAGCCCAGUCCGUGACACCCAGUCGAAGAGGUUCCGCAAUCGUGACAACCUAGAACGUUCAGGAAGUUCCAAUCCCAAUCCUCCAAAGCGCCAUUUCAAGAAGACAGCAUCGAAGGAAAAGGAGGCCAACCUUGACUACGACACUAUGCCUCCUAAAUAGUUUAUGCGGCACCGUGGGAGCAAUCCUUAUGUCAAUGAGAGAGUUCAGCUCAAAGGCUGUGAUUUGUUCUCGACAAAUCAGCAAGCCCUGAUAUAUCAAGAUGUGAGCGUGUCCUUCAAGAAGAUCUAUGUACUUGUGAAGUGGAUUGAUCUCCAUCAUCUCCAGACGUAUCCUGAUUAUUUUGGAGAGGCCCUCUCUUUGAUUGAGCAACUUGGUAUUGAGGACGUCAUCACCUUCCAUCGUGACUUUGAUCCGGAGAUUGUGGCUUAAUUCUAUGUCACUGUCCACUUUCAUAGUGAUGAGGAUCGUACUAUGACUUGGAUGACGAAUGGCAAGAAAAUGUCUGGAACUUGGGUAGAGUUCAUGAAGCUUAUGAAUGUGCCUGACAAGGGGCUGCAAACUGCUGUUGGCUUGCGCCCUCAUGCCCAACCCGGUGUCCCCUCCCCAAGAACAAGCUGCAUCAUCUCUAUGUGAGGAAGAAUGUGCUUCUCCCGCUCUUGGAUACCAUGCACCGGAUCUUCAGAAACACGUUGUUUCCUCAUGUUGGCAACAAAUACGAGGUUCAUUCCUAUCUGAUGGACAUGCUUCUGAUGUGUGUGGAGGGAAGGACAAAGAACAUUGGGCCACUCGACGUAUCUGAUGUGAUGUUCUCUGAGCUUAAGAGUUCGAUCUCUCACCGUAAGGUCCCCAUCUAUGGGCCUUACUUGUUCUUUUUCAUCAAGAAAAAGUGGGCAGAGUCCUUUUCGCAAGUGCCCUUUCCUGCUGGCUCUGGGUGUGUCAGCCAUGAUCCUAUCAAGUUGCGCCAUAAGGAGAAGUGGGCCAACACCUCAUCUUCAAGUUCUACUCAACGCAUGGAGACUGACAGGGAGACUGCUGCUGCUGAGGGAGGCCCUGCCUCGCAUACCCGCUCCUCUGCUGUGCCAUCUUGGACUGUGAAGCUGAAGGACCAGAUGAAGACCCUCUUCUGCAUGCAGGCCAAGGGACAGUAUCAGACUCAUGUGGCCCAAAAGGAGAACCGUCAGAGGCACAAGCGUGUCUUGAGGACGCUUGAUGUGCAUAUUUUGAGCGGCUCUGAGGACAUCAUCUCUCCAGAGGCUGACUGGAUGCAAGCACGAGACUACCAGUGGGCUGAGUCCGACGCUGAGGAGGAGGCAUAUGACGAGGACGUUGAGGAGGAGCCGACUAAGGAGGAGGAGGAUGAGGAGGAUGCGGAUGCCUGAGCUACCACCUGUGUCCUAGGUAUCCUCUCUGCCCUUUUUGGUGUUUUGAUGCCAAAGGGGGAGAGAGUGUAGGGAUUUGGAUUUGCUUUGCUUUAUCAUUUUCUGAGUCUUUCUGUGUUGAACUUGGAUGGUCUUAUCGUGUUCGAUUACCUUUCAUGGUUGUGAGACUUUGUUUUAGUCAUAUGCCAUCCCUACAUUACCUUUAUUAAUUAUCUUCAUGCUCACAUGCUUUACCUUGCUUCCUCACUUAAUGUUGUAUCAGGUCGUUGCAAGGAAUACCAGCCUAUGAUUUCUAGGGGGAGUCUUCUCCUUGGACUGAGUGCACUGCUGUUCAUAACACUAACCUAAAUCAUGCACUCAUCCAGGGGGAGCCAGUCCCUAGACCAUAGACUUUGGGUUUGCAGUUGUAUUCAAUAUACUUUCCUUUUGUGCAAAUCCGGCAUUGUCAUCAAUUCACCAAAAAGGGGGAGAUUGUUAGGGCAUAUUUAUCCCUAAGUGAUUUUGGUGAUUAAUGACAGUACCUCAACGGACUAAUCGUGUGCAUUGAGCAUUUCAGAUAAUACAUUGAAAGGACGUGGAUGUCGCCUAGAGGGGGGGUGAAUAGACGCUUUAAAAUAAUUACAGUUUAGGCUUGAAAAAUGCGGAAUAAAACUAACGUUUAAUUUGUCAAGCACGAAACCUAAAAUAACUAGGCUCACCUAUGUGCACCAACAACUUAUGCUAAGCAAGAUAAACAACUAAGUGAUAGCAAGAUAUAUGAAAGAAAAAAUAUGGCUAUCACAAAUAAAGUGCCUAAGUAAAGGGUUCGGGUAAGAGCUAACCGAGGCACGCGGAGACGAUGAUGUAUCCCGAAGUUCACACCCUUGCGGAUGCUAAUCUCCGUUUGGAGCGGUGUGGAGGCACAAUGCUCCCCAAGAUGCCACUAAGGACACCGAAUCUCCUCACGCCCUCGCACAAUGCAAGAUGUCGUGAUUCCACUAAGGGACCCUUGAGGGCGGUCACCGAACCCGUACAAAUGGAAAACCUUGGGGGCGGUCCCGGUACCCGUACAAAUUUCUCAGGGCAAUCUCCACAACCUAAUUGGAGAUCCCGACGCUUGCCCGGAGCUUUACAUCACAAUGAUUGAGCUCCGAGACACAACCAAGCUUCUAGGACGCCAAAGCAUCCACGAAGAACAAUAUCUAGGGUACUAAGUACCAAAUGUAAUAACCUUCUCAAACUUCACUUCCACGUAUCACCGUGGAGAACUCAAACCGAUGCAACUAAAGCAAUGGCAAGAACACACGAAGUGGACCAGUCCCUCACACUCAAAUCCCUCCACAACAACAAAAGCUAUGGAGAAAUAUAAGAGGAAGAACAAGGAGCUCACAAAGAACUUCAAGAUCUAGAUCCAAGGGGUUCCCCUCACAUAGAGGAGAAAGUGAUUGGUGGAGAUGUGGAUCUAGAUCUCCUCUCUCUUUUCCCUCAAGAACAAGUAAGAAUCAUUGGAGGGAUUGAAAGUAAGCAAGCUCUAAGAAGGUCAUCAAUGGGGGUAGAACAUGAGCUCAAUGGGUAAGAAAAUCCCAAGGGGGGAGAAGGACCCCUUUAUAUAGUGGGGGAAAGAAUCAGACCGUUACCCCCACUUACAGCCCGAGCACAGCGGUACUACCACUGCCCCCAGUGGUACUACCGCUGAGGGAGGAGCGGCACUACCGCUGCCCCUGGCGGUACUACUGCUAGCCCCUCGCGUACUACCGCUAGGACUCGAGUGGUACUAUCGCUAGAGAAAGUCUUCGCAAAAAGUCCGACGGAGAACAACCGCUCAAAGAGAGGUACUACCGUCCCGAAGAGGUACUACCGCCCACCCAGAGCGGUACUACCGCUAGGCCCCUGGUGGUACUACCGCUAGGACUGGAGCGGUACUACUGCUCGUCACCGAAACAACCAUAACUUUUGCAUACGAGCACCGAAUCGAUCAAACCCAAGCUUGUUGGAUUCAAGACGACAAGAGCUAUCCAAACAGCGAAUGGAAAUCUUAAGAACAUGCAGUUAUGAAAAUGCCAAUGAUAUAGAGAUGUGAGACCUCUAUGAAUGAAGAACCGGCAAAAACUCCAACAUCGAAAACAUCGUAGAAGAUGCAUAUGGACUCCGUUUUCGAUGAACUCGAGCUUGUCAUGAAGAUGACCAUAAGCUCUAAAACUCACAAAGAGAAACACCAAACGAGAACCAAGAAGUAUGAUGCAAGGAUGCAAAUGGUUUGAGCUCUCAGCAAACGAUACGAUCAAGCUAGUCACUUGAGAGCCCCCCUGAGAGUACGACAAUCUAUCCUAAAACAGAAAACCUAUCAAGGGCAAACCUAUACCUUGCACCUCGUCCUCUUGAGCUAGAUGAUGAUGAUCUUGGCUUCCUCAAGAUGGACCACCUUUCUUGAUUGCGUUGGCUUGAUGAAGACUAGUUGAUUUCUCCCCAUACUCACUAUGGGUGAGCCACUCUUCAGCAUAUCUUCACAAGUCCAUUGCCACCACAAUGGACGGCAAGCUUCAAGCAUGAUAUAUUUGUGCUGAUCCACUUGAAUUUGCACACCGCAAUUGUGAUGACGAUCACCACUUGACGCCAUCCUUCAUGGGUUGUAUGAGAUCUUCCUUUUGACGCAAGCCCAUGGAAACACACCAUACGAUGGGAUCGCUUGAUCCCUCUCGGUACAUCUUGUUCGCUUUGUGUGUUAAUCAUCUUGAUUUACUCUUUGUCUAGCGAUCUUGAUCAACCUUGUGUCUUUGUGACCAUUCUUUGGAUAAUACCUUGAAUACCACCUUGGUCAUCAUAUAAACUCCUUGAACCCAACAGAUGGACUUCAAGAAGUACCUAUGGACAAAUCCUAUAAAUAUAUUUAAGGCAACCAUUAGUCCACAGGGAUUGUCAUCAAUUACCAAANNNNNNNNNNNNNNNNNNNNNNNNNNNNNNNNNNNNNNNNNNNNNNNNNNNNNNNNNNNNNNNNNNNNNNNNNNNNNNNNNNNNNNNNNNNNNNNNNNNNNNNNNNNNNNNNNNNNNNNNNNNNNNNNNNNNNNNNNNNNNNNNNNNNNNNNNNNNNNNNNNNNNNNNNNNNNNNNNNNNNNNNNNNNNNNNNNNNNNNNNNNNNNNNNNNNNNNNNNNNNNNNNNNNNNNNNNNNNNNNNNNNNNNNNNNNNNNNNNNNNNNNNNNNUUUGGUAAUUGAUGACAACCACUUCAAGAGAGUUUAUAUAAGGAAAUAAGCAUAACCAAACACACACAUACAAAGCAAUAAUGCAUGCGUACAAGAUGUAAAUGCUUAUGCAAUAAAAGCAAAGCCCUCUAAGCAUAACCAAACUAAACUCUCUAAACUUCUCCCCCAUUGGCAUCGAUUGGCAAAAUGGACAAAAAGUUCAGAAAGCCAAUAUAGUAGGUGGUCCUUCAAAAAGUGUGUACUUCUCAGCAAAAGAGUGCAAAGAAAUACACAUAUACAAUGAUUAGAAGUUGGAGGAAAACAAACUAUAUUGAGGACCCAAAGAUUGCAAAAAGAAGGAUCGUAUGCCACAAGGACAUACAAAAAUAGAAGCAAGCAAUCAAAAGAUACCAGAUGGAACAAACAAUCACAUGGUCCUUCGAACCACAUGAAUAAAAGAUAUUAUGAUGAAUCGAGUGUUUUAUCAAAACUAGAGAAGCUCCCCAUGAUGUGUGCACUAAUAAGAAUUUUUAUUAUUCGAUACAAGUACAGAAAAUAGGAUCAUUACUCCCCCAAAAUUAAUAAAAACACAUAACGAGUGCACGAAGAUAGAUGAGACAAUAAGCAUAUCACUUGCACAAAACAUAUGGUUGAGCAUCAUGUAAAAGAGGCGACUCAAGGAUAGGCUCAACCAAAUUGAUGUGUGUGAGUCAUGGCAAAGCACUUGAGAAGACUAAGAAGAGCAUUGCUCAUCAACAUAGUCUUGAUGAAAUGAGAAACACAAUGCAAUACAUAUCAUUCCCACACACACACAUACUAGAAAAUGGGUUCAUAAGCUUACUGAUAAACAAAAUAAGAACCAAAGUUUGUGACAACCCAUGGUCAAGAUAGGAAAUAAUAACCUUGUCAAGAGGAGGGAUACCAAUCGAAAUGGCAAAACCCUCAUCAAGACAAGCAUGAGGAAAAAUAAUCUUCACCGCCAAAGAGUGCAUCAAGAUGUAGGAAUAUAAGAUACGCACUCAAGGCAAAUCCUUUCACAAGGCUACCAAAAACUGAAAAAGGAAAUGCACCGGUGGGCGUGAAAAUAAAGGAGGAUAUCAAUCAGAGAUGUAACAUCUCUCAUGUGUAAAAUAUUCUAGGUAGAACACGAUCAUGAUGAUAUAUAUCCACUAAUAAGGAUGUACACACGAAAUGGUUACAAGAAGGAACAAACAAGAUAUCCAAAAGGAAGUCAUAAAUAUAUCAAUAAGAUCUUUGCUUGGAAGCAGAACACAUGGCCUAAUAUUUUCUUAUUGUACAAUAUGAACUUCCAACAUACGAACAUCAAAGACAUCCCAACUAGCAAUAAGACAUCAUUGUUUGGAUGCUUUGAGAAAGGAAACAAGUACCACAAGAACGAAUCAAGAGAUUCAUGCCAUGAUGCAACCUGGAGAGAGAGACAGAACCACGAGAGGAGGGUAUAACCCCUCGUGGUCCUGACGGCGCAGUAGUACCUUGGAUAUCUGAUGUCAGCUGUGCUUCCCCUUGCAACGGCACCAGAAGAAUGCUGCUAGCACUCUCCGACAAUCGAAGCUAGAAGAAUGUUGUUGACGGCCCACCAGCGCGUGGGGUCGUAGCAGUUUUUGAGGGUAGAGUAUUCAACCCAAAUUUGUUGGUUCGCACGACGGGAGGUGAGAGAAUACUCUCAAGUAUUAGCAGCUGAAUAUGUCAGAUUCAACCACACCUGAAAGAUUAGUAUCUGCAAGCAAAGUAGUAGUAGCAAAGUAGCGAGUAACGACAGUGGCUAGGAACAUCAGUAGUGACAGCAGUAGCAAGUAGCAACAGUAGUAAGCGACAGUAGUAGCAACAGUAGCAACAGAGCAAGACAAGUAACAGCAGAAGCAACAGUAGUAACAGCAGCAGAGCAAGACAAGUAACAACAGCAGUAGGACAAACUCGUAGGCAAUGGGCCGGUGAUUUGUUUGGAUGAUAUUCAUCAUGCAACCGUUAUAACACGGAGAGAUAUGUGGCUAGCUCCCGUUCGUCAAUGUGAUGUAGGCAUGCAUUCCGUGUGUCGUCAUACGUGCUUAGGGAAAAGAACUUGCAUGAUAUCUAUUGUCCAUCCCUCCCGUGGCAGCGGGGUCCAAAAGGAAACUACGUGAUAUUAAGGUUCUCCUUUUAAUAAAGAACUGGACCAACGCAUUAGCACUUGGUGAACACAUGAACUCCUCAAACUAUGCUCAUCAUCGGGAGUGGUUUCGGUUAUUGUCACUCCGGGGUUGCCGGAUCAUAACACAUAGUAGGUAACUACAACUUGCAAGAUCGGAUCUAAAACACACAUAUAUUGGUGGCAAAAGUUGAAUUUCAGAUCUGAAAUCAUGGCACUCGGGCCCUAGUGACAAGCAUUAAGCAUGGCAAAGUAGUAGCAACAUCAAUCUCAGAACAUAGUGGAUACUAGGGAUCAAUCCCCAUCAAAACUAACUCGAUUACAUGAUAGAUCUCAUCCUACUCAUCACCGCCCAGCGAGCCUACGAAUAGAUUACUCACGAACGACGAAGAGCUUCAUGGAAUUGGAGAGGGAAGAAGGUUGAUGAUGACGAUGGCGACGAUUUCCCCUCUCGGGAGCCCAAGACGGACUCCAGAUCUGCCCUCCAGAUGAAGAACAGGUUGUGGCGGCGCCUCCGUAUCGCAAAUGCGACGAAAACUUCUGUUUUUAUUUUUUUGGGACGAAAGGGAACUUAUAGACCUGAGAUUGGGGGCGGCAGAGCCGUGUGGGCCCCACAAGCCUGCCCACCGCCACCACGGGGGUGGCGGAGCCAGGGCUUGUGGAGCACUGGCCCACCCCCUCAGGUGGAACUUGGCACAGAUAUUUUUCAUAUUUUCCAAAAAUGCCCCCCGUAAAUUUUCAGGACUUUUGGAGAACUUUGAUUUCUGCACAAAAAUAACACCAAGGCAAUUUUGCUGAAAACAUCGUCAGUCCAGGUUAGUUCCAUUCAAAUCAUGCAAAUUAGAGUCCAAAACAAGGGCAAAAGAGUUUGGAAAAGUAGAUACGAUGGAGACGUAUCAACUCCCCCAAGCUUAAAACCUUGCUUGUCCUCAAGCAACUCAGUUGACAAACUGAGAGAGAAAGAAAAACUUUGACAAACUCUGUUUGAUCUUGUUGUUGCAACUAUUCUAACUCAUAACCAGAAUUUCAGCAAGAUCACAAGUCAACCACAUAAGCAAAUGACACAAAGGUCUCACGGUAAACUAAUAUCAAUGGCAUAAUUAGCUAACGAGCAAAUAAUAAUGAGUUUCAAAUACCAACACUUCAAUCAAAAUAAGCAUGAAGCAAUAUGAAUAGGUGGUAUCUCGCUAGCUCUUUCUGAGACCGCAAAACAUAAAUGAAGAGCACUUUCAAAGAUCAAGGGCUGACUAAACAUUGUAAUUCAUAGCAACGAAGAUCCAGUCAUAGUCAUACUCAAUAUCAAUCAAAAGCAAAGCAUAAAAAUGACAGAGGUGCUCUCUAAUUGGUGCUUUUAUAAGAAGAGGAUGACUCAAGAGGAAAAUAAACAGACAGACCCUUCGUAGAGGGAAGCAUUGAUUUGCAGAGGUGCCAGAGCUCAAGCUUUGAAAACAGAGAUACUAAUUUUGGGUGGCAUGCUUUCAUUGUCAACGCAAUGACCAAGAGUUCUCAAUAUCUUCCAUGCUACUCAUGCUAUAGGCGGUUCCCAAACAGAAAAGUAAAGUUUUAACUCCCCCACCACCAAUCAAUCACACUCCACGGCUAGCCGAAUCCUCGGGUACCGUGCAUACUAACAUCAAUCCGGGGGGAGUCUUGUUUUACAGUUAUGUUUCCAAUUACCGGCCCCUUUCUCGUGAAUGACAGUGAAUAAACACAUGUCAAGGAUAACACUCCCAGCAUGGAAGAUACCAAUAGCCCCCUAUCACCACAUGAACGGUUCGGGCAUGCAAAACAAAUUAUUUCUUGAAGGUUUAGAGAAUGGCACAUGCAAAUUUACUUGGAACGGCAGGUAGAUACCGUAAAUAGGUAGGUAUGGUGGACUCUCAUGGAAAAACUUUUGGGUUUAUGGAAGUGGAUGCACAAGCAGUAUUCCGCUUAGUACAAGUGAAGGCUAGCAAAAGACUCGGAAGCGACCAACUAGAGAGCGACAACAGUCAUCAAGAUGCAAUGAGUUUGACUAACAUUAAAUGCAAGCAAGAACAGGAUAUAAAUCACCAUGAACACGAACAUCAUAGAGGCUAUGUUGAUUUUGUUUCAACUACAUGCAUGAACAUGCGCCAAGUCAAGCCACUUGAAACAUUCAAAGGAGAAUACCAUCCUAUCAUACUACAUCAUAGUCAUCUCAAAAUCUAUGUUGGCAAUCAAGACAAACCAUUAUAAGCUCUCAGCUAAAUAAGCAUGGCAUCAGAAACUAUGAUCUCUAAGUUGUCAUUGCAAACAUGGUUCUCUCACAACAAAGCUAAAUCUGGGUCGACAAGCUAGUCAUAUUUACAAAAACAAAAUAGAUAGAGUUCAUACCAUCUUUUCAGUCUCAGUCACUAUAUCAUAUAUCAUCAUGAGUGCCUUUCACUUGCACGAUCGAACGAUGUGAAAAAUAAUAAGAGCGCUCGUGCAUUGGACUAAGCUGAAUCUGCAGGCAAACACAAAGGAGAAGACAAAGUAAUAUGGCUCUUUGAAAGCUAAACAGGUAAGCAUGCAAGAACCAAUAAACAUUGUAACCAAUAUCUUCUACCUUGACCCAAAGAAAAAGAAAACUAUUUACACGGGAAAGCUCCCAACAAGCAAAAGAAUAAAGAAAAAUCUUUUUGGGUUUUCUCAAAAGGACACAAAACAAGAAAACAAGAAAACGAAAAUAAACUAGCGUGGAUAAUAUAGUGGCAAAGUGUAAACACCGGCUAACAAAGCGAAAGCAUAAGCAUGAAUGUAAAGUCGGUGAGAACACGUACUCCCCCAAGCUUAGGCUUUUGGCCUAGUUUGGUCUACUCCCAAGGUGGGAAAUAACCAGCUCGUGGAUACUCUGGAGCAGACUGUGGAUGCCAUUGCCGUGUGAGCUCCUCUGGCUCCCACUGAUAAACUGGUGUCUGGUACUCGACUGGCGGCUCGGGCACGGGCGCAUGUGGUUGGGCCAAGCCCCAACAUGCGUAGAUGUCCGAGGGCAUAAUAGUGUACCUGCCUGCAUGAAGAUCGAACAAAGAAGGAGCACGCAAAGUAAUAGUCUCUCGAGUACCCUGACUAAAUACCAGGUUAUAAAUCAUCCGUCUACUAGCAUCUCUAUCCAGAAAAUCAUGGCGAACCAUGCUAUCAUAAUCCAGAUAUUUCUCAGGGAGAAGCAUCUCUCCUUCCUCUCCCAGUCUAAUGGGUAUCUCGAAGUGUCUGGCAAGACGGGAAGCGUAGAUACCUCCAUAGACGACACCCUUGGAACGGUUGAUGUUUAACCGCUGGGCCACCAUAGCACCUAGGCAAGUCUUAUCGCUAUAAAGACUUCGCGCAAAACCGUAAGGUCUGGAGAACUAAGUGAUCCAGCCUCCCCACGGCCAAUCAAACAUUUUCCCACAAAUAAUGAGAAGUACCGAAGCACAGGAAAAUGUAUGCUAGCAAUUCUAGCGCGAGACACUCCUCUCUCCUCUCCAACAACAAUAGAACCAAUGAAAUCCUCCAAGUUCCGUGGACGAGGGUCAAGGAUAACCCCAACAUAAGGUAAUUUGCAUACAUUGCAAAAAUCCUGUAGUGUCAUGCACUAGGGGACAUCGUAUAUCAUGAACUCAACCAUGGGAGGAUUCUUCCUCGGAUAAAAGUUGAAGCUUUGAACGAAAAUAUUGGUGAGGAGGAGGUAUUGUGAGCACUUAUCUUCAACGAACGCAGUAAGACCUGCGUUCUCCACCAAGUAAUAAAAGUCUUCACAAAGUCUGGCGGCGUGCAAAAGUUCAUCACUUGGCCACUCGCACGCUCGAACUUCUGUGACUCGAGGAACUACGUACUUGGGGUGAUUCUUCUCAUCCUCCUUGUGGUUACGGCUUGAAGAGCCUCCCAAGAACCUCUUCAUCUUUCCCUUUUUCUAGCUCUGAAAAAUUCUGAAAUUUUUAGAGACUUCGAAAGAAAAGUGAACAAAGAUUAACCCAACUUGUAGAAACUACUCCUACUAGUGCCUAGAGACCGUAUCACACGCUAAAACUACUUGGGACCAGCUAAAAUCAACAUUUCUAGCUCAAGAACAGGGUCACCAAGGUAGCAAGAAUACGCGAAGGAUAAAGCACUAGAGCAAAAACUAAUUGGACCAAUGGAGGAGUCACUUACCAAGGAGUAAUUUCCCCAAAACGGUUCGAAGAAUGGUGCUUUGAGCAAGGAGAUCAAAAAUCACAGCCAAAUGAGCAAGAACACGGGUUUGAGGUGCGAAACAAUUUUUUCUGGAGGUGGAAGAAGAGGCUGGGAGCUGGAAUGAGUGGAGGGGGUCCUUGUGGGCCCCACAAGCUUGCACUCCGCCACCAGGGGGGUGGAGGUGGCAUUGCUUGUGGCCCACUGGUCUGGCCCCCAGGCCAGCUCUCAGGCCCAGUAAUUUUCAAAAAUUCUAGAAAAAAUCAUACUAAAUUUCCAGGACCAUCGGAGAACUUUUAUUUUCGAGGUAUUUUUCUCCGGGACGCUAAAAUAGAAAACAGGAAAAGCUAAACUAAUUCUACCAUUUUUCUUCUAAGCAAAAGAAAAUGAAAGCUUAAAACACAGGUAUGUGACUCUUUGAUUCAUCUGUUUCAUGGUCAUCGAAAGAAAUCCGUCAAUGGGGUUGAUCAAGUCCUCAUGAUAAAACCUUCUCGUUUCGCAAGAUAGAACGUAGUAUUUUUGAAUAGCCACUAAGUCACCUCAAUGGGGAUAUGUAUCUCCCCAACAAGCAAAUCAUACUUCAUCUUAACACGAGGAAUAGGGCAUUCAAAGCUCCCAAUGAGAAUCGUUGAUGUCUUUUCGAUAACAUUGAUGCAAUGUACUUGAUAUCGUUUCUUCGGAAAGUGUAGUGUGUGCUCAUUACCGUUGACAUGGAAAGUGACAUUGCCUUUGUUGCAAUCUAUAACAGCCCCUGUCGUGUUUAAAAAGGGUCUUCCGAGGAUGACGGCCAUGGCAUCGUCCUCAGGAAUAUCCAAGAUAACAAAGUCUGGUAAGAUAGUGGUGUUAGCAACCACAACAAGCACGUCCUCGCAAAUGCCGAUAGGGAAAGUAGUUGAUUUGUUGGCCAUUUGCAGAGAAAUUUCAGUGGGUGUCAACUUAUCCAAUUCAAGUCUACGAUAAAGAGAGAGCGGCAUAACACUAACACCGGCUCCAAGGUCACAUAAGGCAGUUCUUACGUAGUUUCCUUUAAUGGAGCAAGGUAUAGUGGGCACUCCGGGAUCACCAAGUUUCUUAGGAGUUCCACCUUUGAAAGUGUAAUUGGCAAGCAUGGUGGAGAUCUCAAGAUCUGGUAUCUUCCGUUUAUUAGUCACGAUAUCUCUCAUGUACUUGGCAUACGGAGACAUCUUGAGCAUAUCAGUUAACCGCAUCUGCAGAAAGAUGGGUCUUAUCAUCUCAACAAAACGCUCAAAAUCCUCAUCAUCCUUUUUCUUGGAUGGCUUAGGAGGGAAGGGCAUAGGUCUCUGAACCCAUGGCUCCCUUUCUUUACCAUGCUUCCUAGCAGUGAAGUCAUUCUUAUCGUAUUUCUUAGGUUGUGGGUUAUCAGGAUUAACCGUAGGUUCAAUCUCCACAUCCUCAUCAUUGCUAGGUUGAGCAUUAUUAUGAACAUCACUGUCCAUAUUGUCACCAAGUUCAUGUUCAUCACCAGAUUGUGUUUCUGCAUCAGACGCAGAAAUAUCAUUAGGUUCUUCAGGUGUGAGAGUAUUUGGUGAACUGGCGUGUAGGUUUCUAUCAUCCUUCUUCUUCUCCUUAGGAUGACUGGGUGUAUCAGCAUUGAUUCCUUGAGAAUCUUGAUCAAUUCUAUUAGGAUGACCUUCAGGAUACAAAGGUUCCUGAGUCAUUUUGCCUCCUCUAGUAAUGACUCUGACAGAGUUGUCAUUUAAUUCAUUGAGCAAGUCAUUCUGAGCUUUAAGUACUUGUUCUACCCGAGUAGUAAUCAUAGAGGCAUGUUUACUCAGAAGCUUCAGAUCAUUGACAUUUCUGUCUACACAAGCACUUAAAUGGCUAAGCAUACGAGUACUUUGUUCCAAGUGUGUGCUAACAAAAUCAUUGAAACUCUGUUGUUUGGCAACAAAGUUGUCAAAUUCAUCAAAGCAUAGGCUAGCAGGUUUAUCAAAGGGAAUAUCACUCUCAUCAAACCUACGCAGAGAAUUUACUUCUACUACCUGUAUCGGGUUAUCGAGACCAUGGAUCUCUUCGAUAGGUGGUAGAUUUUUGACAUCUUCACAUAUAAUGCCUUUCUAUUGCAUAGAUUUCUUGGCUGCUUGCAUAUCUUCGGGACUGAGGAAUAGAAUACCUCUUUUCUUCGGAGUUGGCUUAGGAGGUGGUUCGGGAAUAGUCCAAGCAUUAUCGUUGAUCAAGAUGUUAUUCAGUAGGGUCUCAACUUGUUCUACAGUUCGUUCCCUAAAAACACAACCGACACAACUAUCUAGGUGGUCUCUAGAGGCAUCGGUAAGUCCGUUAUAGAGGAUAUCAAGUAUCUUGUUCUUCUUAAGAGGGUGAUCAGGCAAAGCAUUCUGUAGCUGGACGAGCCUCCCCCAAGCUUGUGGAAGACUCUCUUCUUGGAGUUGAGAAAAGUUGUAUAUUUCCUGCAAGGCAGCUUGCUUCUUAUGGGCAGGGAAAUAUUUCUCACAGAAGUAAUAGACCAUAUCCUGGGGACUACUCACACAUCCAGGAGCAAGAGAGGUGAACCAGGCUUUAGCGUCAUCCUUUAGAGAGAAAGGAAACAACUUAAGGAUAUAAUAGUGACGGAUCUUCUCCUCAUUGGUGAAAAGGGUGGCUAUAUCGUGUAGUUUGGCAAGAUGGGCUACGACCGUCUUAGACUCAUAACCGUGAAAAGGAUCAGAUUCGACUAGACAGAUUAUCUCAGGAUCGAUAGAGAAUUCAUAAUCCUUAUCGGUGAUAAAGAUAGGUGAAGUGGCAAACUUCGGGUCGUAUUUCAUCUUAGCUUUCAGAGAUUUUUCCUUCCACUUGACAAGUAAUUUCUCAGUGUCAUAGGCAUCCUUACACGCAAGAAAAUCCUCAGCUAUCUCUCCCUCCAUAACGUAACCCUCAGGUAUAUCAGGCAAUUCAUAUCUAGGAGAGCUAGAUCUAGCAGGAGCAAAAGCAGGUUCUAUCUCAAUAGUAUCGACAGUAUCAAAAGCAUCACGAGCAUUGGCAGUAACUCUAGCAAUAUGAGCAUCAAGGAACACCCCCAGUGGAACAUCAGGCAAAGUAGUAUCUCUAGCAGUAUCAAGCAUAGCAUCAUCAGGCGUAGAAUCUCUAGCAGUAUCAAGCAUAGCAUCUCUAGCAAUAUCAGGCAAAGCAGUAUCAGGCAUAGUAUCUCUAGCAGUAUCAGGCAUAGUAUCAAGCAUAGCAUCUCUAGCAGUAGCAUCAUAAGCAUCAUCAAGCACAUGCGACAUAUCAAGAUUUCUAGCAGGAGGUGAUGUCGCAAACUUACUCAUAAUUGAAGGUGAAUCAAGUGCAGAGCUAGAUGGCAAUUCCUUACGUCCCCUCGUAGUUGAGGGCAAGACCUUGGUCUUCGGAUCCUUCAGAUUCUUCAUAGUGAUCAGCAGAUAUAAAUCCCAAGUAACUCAGAGAAUAUAGCAAUACCUUCCCGGCAACGGCGCCAAAAAAAUGCUUGAUGUCAGCUGUGCUUCCCUUACAACGGCACUAGAAGAACGCAGCUAGCACUCUCCAGCAAUCGAAGCUAGAAGAAUGUUGUUGACGGCCCACCAGCGCGUGGGAUCGUAGCAGUUUUCGAGGGUAGAGUAUUCAACCCAAAUUUGUUGGUUCGCAUGACGGGAGGUGAGAGAAUACUCUCAAGUAUUAGCAGCUGAAUAUGUCAGAUUCAACCACACCAGAAAGAUUAGUAUCUGCAAGCAAAGUAGUAGUAGCAAAGGAGCGAGUAACGGCAGUGGCAAGGAACAACAGUAGUGACAGCAGUAGCAAGUAGCAACAGUAGCAAGCGACAGUAGUAGCAACAGUAGCAGCAGAGCAAGACAAGUAACAGCAGUAGCAACAGUAGUAACAUCAGCAGAGCAAGACAAGUAACAGCAACAGUAGGACAAACUCGUAGGCAAUGGGUCGGUGAUUUGUUUGGAUGAUAUUCAUCAUACAACAGUUAUAACAUGGAGAGAUAUGUGGCUAGCUCCCGUUCGUCAAUGUGAUGUAGGCAUGCAUUCCGUGUGUCAUCAUACGUGCUUAGGGAAAAGCACUUGCAUGACAUCUAUUGUCCAUCCCUCCCGUGCCAGCGGGGUCCAAAAGGAAACUACGGGAUAUUAAGGUUCUCCUUUUAAUAAAGAACCGGACCAACACAUUAGCACUUGGUGAACACAUAUACUCCUCAAACUAUGGCCAUCACCGGGAGUGGUUCCGGUUAUUGUCACUCUGGGGUUGCCGGAUCAUAACACAUAGUAGGUAACUACAACUUGCAAGAUCGGAUCUAAAACACACAUAUAUUGGUGGCAAAAUAAUAAUUUCAGAUCUUAAAUCAUGGCACUCGGGCCCUAGUGACAAGCAUUAAGCAUGGAAAAGUAGUAGCAACAUCAGUCUCAGAACAUAGUGGAUACUAGGGAUCAAUCCCCAUCAAAACUAACUCGAUUACAUGAUAGAUCUCAUCCUACUCAUCACCGCCCAGCGAGCCUACGAAUAGAUUACUCACGAACGACGAAGAGCUUCAUGGAAUUGGAGAGGGAAGAAGGUUGAUGAUGACGAUGGUGACGAUUUCCCCUCUCGGGAGCCCAAGACGGACUCCAGAUCUGCCCUCCAGAUGAAGAACAUGUUGUGGCGGUGCCUCCAUAUCGCAAACGCGAUGAAAACUUCUCUUUUUAUUUUUUUGGGACGAAAGGGAACUUAUAUACCUGAGAUUGGGGCGGCAGAGCCGUGUGGGCCCCACAAGCCUGCCCACCGCCACCAGGGGGUGGCGAAGCCUCGGCUUGUGACCCACUGGCCCACCCCCUGAGGUGGAACUUGGCGCAGAUAUUUUUCAUAUUUUCCAAAAAUCCUCCCCGUAAAUUUUCAGGACGUUUGGAGAACUUUGAUUUCUGCACAAAAAUAACACCAAGGCAAUUUUGCUGAAAACAGCGUCAGUCCAGGUUAGUUCCAUUCAAAUCAUGCAAAUUAGAGUCCAAAAGAAGGGCAAAAGAGUUUGGAAAAGUAGAUACGAUGGAGACGUAUCAAUAUCCACGACAGUACCGGUCAGCUAAGAAAAGACAGGUUUGGGUCUUUGCAAGGAACGAAUGCAUGAAGUAGAUACUUGUUACCGAGACAACACUGGAUUGAUGUACUAGGUAGUUGUUCGUUGAUCAUCCUAACUUGGCAACAAUAAGCACGUGGUCUCAACACCUUCCUUGUAGGUGAGCCGAGCAUCCAAUGCAUCUCCAAUUGUUCCUAGAACAACAAAACAAACCAAAUGGUGCCCAAACUCCACUUAAAUAUGUGCAUAUAGAUAUGAAAUUGAAUUUCAUGCACGCUUUAGCCAAUUUAUGACAAGGUGGAGUUUCCCCUAUAUACUCGGGUAAAGGAAAGAAAGCAUGCAAGCGAAGCUAUAUAUAGUAAAUAUGCAUGCUCAAGGCUCUCAAGAAUCAACUCAACACAAAGUUGAUAAGUCACCAAAAGAGAAGGUAUCAAGUGAUAAUAAGAUCCAAACGAAAAAUUAUCACUUGAAGGAUAUCAAUUAAAAGAUACCUCAAGGAAUGAGAUAUCCAUUGACACAUGCCAAAAAAAGGAAACAAGAUACCAAUUGAAGGAAAACAAACACGAGGUAUCUAGUUUCCAAAAGAGAGAUAGGUUCCAAACAAACCAAACCCUCGACAAAUUUUCAUGAUGGCACAAAGCAUCAUAAAGAUCAAGACUUGCCUCCCAUCAACACACUUGAAGGGGAUCAAAAGAUUUUAUGAUGGACGAAUAAAGAGAGUGUUCCAAAGAAAAUAGGAUAACUCCCCCAAGGGAUGUGCAUUAUAUAGAAUUUGCAUUUAAAUACAAAAUGCACAAGAUGGGAUCAUGACUUCCUCUAUAUCUAUAAAAACACUAGACAUGUUAAAAUAGAUCCACAAGAGGCAAGGAAGACAAACGAAACACAAAAUCCAAUGUAAAGACGAUUAGCAAUUUCUACCACAUGAUGGGAAUGCCAAUUGUCAAGGACAAGAAGUAUUUUUGAAAUAAUACUCAUUGGUAGAUCACAAAAAUAUCCAACAUCAUCUUUUACCCCUAAAGCGCAAGCAAAUGACACUUGUAGAGAUAACAUGCCACCUAGGAACAAGAUAAUUUACAAUAUCAACACUGAGUGGAAAUACCUCAAAUGUACACAUUUUCUAGGCUUGUAAUAUGAACAUAGCGUAUUACUCCCCCAUAAUGUGAUAAACCAACAAUAUUAACAACUGGCAAAAUAAAACCAACAAGAGAUAGUUAAUGGACCAUAAAGAAUUUGAAUUUCCCAUGAGUAAGACAUACCACAUAGAAACUAGAUAAUCUUGAAAUAUCAAUACUAAGUGGUAUUCCCCAUGUAUACACAUUUAUAGGAUUGUGAGGUGUGCGAAGCACAUCACUCCCCCACAAUGGGAUAAUCCAUUAAUCUCUCACAAGAGCCAACAAAGAUACAAACAAGAGGCAAAAAAGUUAAAUACAAGACUCACAUAUACAUGAUGUGCAAACCAACAUACACAUACUCGAUUACUCAAGAUAAGCAAGUUGGAAGAACAACAUAUACAAACACAUGCAAGGUACAAAACCACAACAUGCAAAGGGACAAGUAACUAACAAUGUAAACAAUUUAAGUACAAGUUACUGUAAGGAGGCACAUUGGAUAUAAGAUAGAAACUCGAUAAUCCAAAUGACUUGCCUUGAGAUAAUAUGAAUGAUGAAGACCCCUUAAUUCUUCAUUAUGUGUCAAAGUCUCCAAUGUCCUACAGAAUCACCUAUUGAUCAAGGUUGAGCUUGUUGGUCCCCAACCAUGUUGGGUCCUAAGAGGUUAGUCAUAAUAGGCUUGGCAACCCAAAUGGUACUUUUAUUGACACCACUUUGUGUACCAACAAACUUGGCAAACACAUUGCCAACCUUAUCCUUCCCAAGAGAAUAGAUAUCAUCAAUAAUUAUUGGGUUGGAUAAAUUAUCUCUCGUGCAAGAAGAAGCGAAGUGACCCUUCUCACGACAUAAGUAGCAACAUCUACCCUUUAAUUUCUUCCCUAUUGAUUUCUCAACAUGAGGAGUGUUGGCAUGUGACUUCUUGGGAAGAGGCCUUUCUUCAACUUGUAGUUGAGUAUGUGACUGAACUUGUGGUCGCUUCCCUUGUUGCUUGUGACUUUGGGACUUCUUAUUUGGUGGGAAAGAUCUAACAUGGUGCCCUUCAAUUUUGCACUUGAAGCAAAUAAUCUUGGCUGGAUUCUUUACUUGUUCUUGGCCCUUAUUCUUGAAGUUUUUGGACUUCUUCUUGUUGGAUUUGAAUCCAAGUCCAUCUUUGUCAUUCAGGGAGUUUUUCCCACACAAGACAUUGUUGAGUGUGGACAUCCCUUCAUGACUCUUUUCCAAGUCUUUCUUCAAAGAAGUGACUUGGGCCUUGAGCUCUUCGAUUUCCUCUACAUGGUUAGUAUCAACACAAGUACUAGAGGAAUUAUAAGCUUCAUUGUUAGAGCAACAAGGCAAGGAAAGUAAUUCAUCACAUGAGGUAGCAACAUUAUGAGUAGAAGAAUUACGAGGACUAGCACAUGGCAAUAUAGCAAUUUGACUAGAAGUAGUGCCAUUGUCCACAUGAGGCUCACUUGAUGUUACCUUGAUAGUAAUAGCCUCACGAGCUAAUUUUAGUGCAUUAUGGGAUGCUAGAAGAUCAUCAUGAGAGCUUGUGAGCAUUACAUGACUUUCUUCCAAUUUCCCAUAAGCUCAACAUUCUCCUUUAAAAUGGAUGCUUCACAAGAAGUAGAGUUAGUAGCACAAGCAUCAUCAUUAGCAAUAAGAGGAGAAGGCACCUUGGCAAGCUCUUUAGCAUAUGAAGCUUCAAGUUGAGCAUGAGACUCGGUCAGAUCAAUGAGCGUACUCUUGAUAGCCCUUGAGCCAUUUUCGAGGUGCUCAUUGUCCUUAAGGAGUUUAGCAUGUGCAACUUCAAGCUUAUCAUUUUUAGUUCUAAAAUCAUUAGCCACCUUGAGAGCUCUAUCAUGGGAUUCCUUUAAUCUAGAUAAUUCUAGAGCAAAGGUUUCCUCAAGAGAUUCCUUGGUGGUUUGUUCAUUUUCAAGAGCUUGUGAUAACUCUGCGAUCUCAUUAGCGUAAUCACGCUCAUGACCUUCCAUUAUCUCAAUGGUGGCCUCAUGCUCCUCAAGAUGAGCUUCCAACUCCUCAAUGUAUUUCUUGCCCUCAGUGGCAAUAGACAUGAUUUCCAAGAAGUUGGAACAAGCAAAUUUAUUCUUAUAAAGAGAUUAAAAAUUGUUUCACCCUUAAUUUUUAAGGAUGCAAUAUUAUAACUCUCUUCACCAUUAUCCUCAUCCCCAUUAUUAUCAACAUCAUCAUCAUGAGAUAUAUUGGGAUUCAAAGUAGGAGAUACCUUUGAAGCCUUAGCCAUAAGGCAAAAGUGAGUAACACUAGAUGAUGUAGGAUCCCUUGAAGCAUCAUUUAAGGCCACAUCUUGUUCCAUGGAGUGAUGAAAUUCCUCUACAUUGUUAGCACAACAACUCAAGAAAAUAGAUAAAUUUUUAUCAUGGCAACAAGAUAUAGGAAGCAUAUCAUCCUGAGAUUUAGUCAAGCAGUUUUUACAUGAUAUGCAAGGACUGUCAACACAAGCAUGUAAAACAUUUAGAGUUAUCGAAGUGUUAACGCCCAAAGAUGAAGCAUUGCAAUAAUAUAGUGAUGAAGGAUCAUCAACAAUAAGCCCACUAUCAUCAUUGCAAUGAUCUCCACUACUCACCAUAUCAUUACCUUGUGGCAAUCCACAUGUAGGUGAAGUAGAUGAAGUUGAGAAGACCAGAAGACCGGAGGUGGAGGGAGAACAAUCAUUCCCACAAAUCUUGGACAUACCAUAUUUAUCUUGAAGCUUUGUCCACAACUCAUGAGCAUCCCGGAAUGGCAUGAGUUGAAAUAUAACUACAUUGCUCAAAGCAUCAAAAGGCACAUUAGAAGCUUGAGAAUUGAGAUAAGAGUUUUUCUCAUCCUCUAAAGAUAUAUUUUGAGAAUCCUUUGGAGGAGAAAACCCAUAUCUACAAUUCGCUCCAAGUUUGGGUCCAUGACCCUAAAGUGAUUAAGCAUGCGAAUUACCCAAACAUCAAAAUUUGUGCCAUCGAAACUAAGAGUGUUAGAGAAUCCUAAACCCCUAGUCGACAUCCUUACUCUCUAGGUGGUUAAACCUAAUAAAGAGAGACCUAGCUCUAAUACCAAUUGAAAGGAUGUGGAUGUCACCUAGAGGGGGGGGGGUUAAUAGGCGCUUUAAAAUAAUUACAAUUUAGGCUUGAAAAAAUGUGGAAUAAAACUAACGUUUAAUUUGUGAAGCACGAAACCUAAAACAACUAGGCUCACCUAUGUGCACCAACAAAUUAUGCUAAGCAAGAUAAACAACUAAGUGAUAGCAAGAUAUAUGACAAGAAACAAUAUGUCUAUCACAAAGUAAAGUGCAUAAGUAAAGGGUUCGGGUAAGAGAUAACUGAGGCACGCGGAGACGACGAUGUAUCCCGAAGUUCACACCCUUGCGGAUGCUAAUCUCCUUUUGGAGCGGUGUGGAGGCACAAUGAUCCCCAAGAUGCCACUAAGGCCACCGUAAUCUUCUCACGCCCUCGCACAAUGCAAGAUGCCAUGAUUCCACUAAGGGACCCUUGAGGGCGGUCACGGAACCCGUACAAAUGGCAAACCUUGGGGGCGGUCACCAGUGCCCGUACAAAUUGCUCGGGGCAAUCUCCACAACCUAAUUGGAGACCCCGACGCUUGCCCGGAGCUUUACACCACAAUGAUUGAGCUCCGAGACACCACCAAGCUUCUAGGACGCCAAAGCAUCCACGAAGAACAAUAUCUAGGGUACUAAGUACCAAAGAUAAUGACCUUCUCAAACUUCACUUCCACAUAUCACCGUGGAGAACUCAAACCGAUGCAACUAAUGCAAUGGAAAGAACACACGAAGUGGACAAGUCCCUCACACUCAAAUCCCUCCACAACAACAAAAGUUAUGGAGAAAUAUAAGAGGAAGAACAAGGUGCUCACAAAGAACUCCAAGAUCUAGAUCCAAGGGGUUCCCCUCACAUAGAGGAGAAAGUGAUUGGUGGAGAUGUGGAUCUAGAUCUCCUCUCUCUUUUCCCUCAAGAACAAGCAAGAAUCAUUGGAGGGAUUGAGAGUAAGCAAGCUAUAAGAAGGUCAACAAUGGGGGUAGAACAUGAGCUCAACGGAUAAGAAAACCCCAAGGGGGAAGAAAGACCCCUUUAUAUAGUGGGGGAAACAAUCAGACUGUUACCCCCACUUACAGCCCGAGCACAGCGGUACUACCGCUGCCCCUAGCGGUACUACCGCUCAGGGAGGAGCAGUACUACCGCUGCCCCUGGCGGUACUACCGCUAGCCCUGGCGGUACUACCGCUAGCCCUGGCGGUACUACCGCUAGGACUGGAGCGGUACUACCGCUAGAGAAAGUCUUCGCAAAAAGUCCGACGGAGAACAACUGCUUAGAGAGAGGUACUACCGUACCGAAGCGGUACUACCGCUAUCCCCAGCGGUACUACCGCUACGACUGGAGCGGUACUACCGCUCGCCACUCAAACAACCAUGACUUUCGCAUACGAGCUCCGAAUGGAGCAAACCCAAGCUUGUUGGAUUCAGGACUACAAGAGCUAUCCAAACAGCGAAUGGAAAUCUUAAGAACAUGCAGUUAUGAAAAUGCAAAUGAUAUAGAGAUGUGAGACCUCUAUGAAUGAAGAACCAACAAAAACUCCAACAUCGAAAACAUCAUAGAAGAUGUAUAUGGACUCCGUUUUCGAUGAACUCGAGCUUGUCAUGAAGAUGACCAUAAGCUCUAAAACUGACAAAGAGAAACACCAAACAAGAACCAAGAAGUAUGAUGCAAGGAUGCAAAUGGUUUGAGCUCUCAACAAACGAUACGAUCAAGCUACUCACUUGAGAGGCCCCCUUGACAGUACAACAAUCUAUCCUAAAACAGAAAAUCUAUCAAGGGCAAACCUAUACCUUGCACCUCGUCCUCUUGAGCUAGAUGAUGAUGAUCUUGGCUUCCUCAAGAUGGACCACCUUUCAUGAUUGCUUUGGCUUAAUGAAGACUAGUUUAUUGCUCCCCCAUACUCACUAUGGGUGAGCCACUCUUCAGCAUAUCUUCACAAGUCCAUUUCCACCAUAAUGGACGGCAAGCUUCAAGCAUGAUAUAUUCGUGUUGAUCCACUUUAAUUUGCACACCGCAAUCUUCAUGACGAUCACCACUUGACGUCAUCCUUCAUGGGUUGUAUGAGAUCUUCCUUUUGACACAAGCCCAUGGAAACACACCAUACCAUGGGAUCACUUGAUCCCUCUCGGUACAUCUUGUAUGCUUUGUGUGUUGAUCAUCUUGAUUUACUCUUUAUCUGGCGAUCUUGAUCAACCUUGUGUCUCUAUGACCAUUCUUUGGAUAACACCUUGAAUACCACCUUGGUCAUCAUAUAAAAUCAUUGAACCCAACAGAUGGACUUCAAGAAGUACCUAUGGACAAAUCCUAUAAAUCUCUCCCUAAUAAUAAAGCAAAUAAGGUUUCUGGUCGUCCGUCUUGAAAAUUACGCCUAAAGUUUGCAUAAAUUACCCACCAUGCCACCCGUAAGUAACAGAAAACGUUUCACAAAGCAACAUGUAAAAACGUCCUAUAUUACGCUCUACAUGCUCGGAGAAUAUCCAACACACCGUAAGGGCCGGCUCAUGCACACGCGCCUGCUUUUAGUUCCGUUUAUUUUUUUUAUUUUCAGUUCCGUUUUAUUUUUUAUUUUAAAUAAUUUAAAACUUCAAAUAAUCUUUAAAGUUUUAAUAAAAUGAAAAUUAUAAAUCAACACAUUUAAAAAAUUAAAAUGUUUGUGACUUCAAAAACUGCUCGGAGUUUUGUAAAAAAUGCUCGCAUAUACAAUAAAAUGUUUGCAAUUUUAGAAAAAUGUUUGUACAAUAAGAAAAGUCCAUGAUCUCAAAUACAAUUCCAUGUAUUAAAAAUUAUUAAAAGCAUUUAUCAAAAUGCUUUCUAAUUCAAAAUAUGUUAAUGUAUUUAAAAAAUGUCCUAAAAUUUAAAAAAUAGCUAAUGCCUGUUUUGAUAGUUUCUUUUUUUAUUUAAGAUUUUCCGUUCCAUUUUUGUUUAUUUAUAAUUUAAAUAAUUUAGAAUUACAAAAACUUUUGCAUACUAAAAAAUAGGAAUUUUGAAUUAAAAUGCUGACGAAUUUUUAUUUUGAAUUAAAAAUAAGAUUCAGAAAAAGCGCCGGAUUUUUAUAUUUUUUUGCAAAUUCCAAAACAAUGUCCAUGAAUUUAAUAAAUAUAUUACUGAUUUAUAAAAAAUGUUUGUUUAUUCAUAAAAACUUCAUGCGUUUCAAAAAAUGUUUGUGAAUUUUUUUUAAAAUCCUCCAACAUUAAAAAAUAUGUUCGUCUUUUCUUGAAUUGGUCGCCAAUUUAAAAGAAAAUAUUUAAACCCGUUCGAAAUAUAAAAAAUAUUCACGAUUUCUAAAUCAAGCGAUGAUAUGUGAACAUAAUGCGGUCAUCAUCAUUGGAGAUUAUGUUUUUUCCUUCCGUGGCAACGCACGAGCCAUUUUGGUAGUAUAACUAAGGAAACCAUUAGUCCAUAGGAAUUUUCAUCAAUUAUCAAAACCACAUAUGGAUAAAUAUGCUCUAACACACAUGACAAAGGCACAAGACGUUUCGGCACCUGACGACCCACAAGUAUAGGGGAUCAAUCGUAGUCCUUUCGAUAAGUAAGAGUGUCGAACCCAACGACGAGCAGAAGGCUGUGAUAAACGGAUUUCAGCAAGGUAAUAACUGCAAGCACUGAAAGUGGCGGUAACAAGUGAUGGUGUAGCGAGGUGAAACGUAACAAGUGAAAAGUAACAAGUAACAAGUAGUAGCAACGGUGCAACAAGUGGCUCAAUCCAUUUUGUAGCAAGGGACAAGCCUGAACAAAGUCUUAUAGGAGGAAAAACGCUCCCGAGGACACACGGGAAUUUCUGUCAUGCUAGUUUCAUCAUGUUCGUAUGAUUCACGUUCGUUACUUUGAUAGUUUGAUAUGUGGGUGGACCGGCGCUUGGGUACUACCCUUACUUGGACAAGCAUCCCACUUAUGAUUAACCCCUCUCGCAAGCAUGCGAAACUACGAAAGAAGAAUUAAGACAACGUCUAACCAUAGCAUUAAACUAGUGGAUCCAAAUCAGCCCCCUAUGAAGCAACGCAUAGACUCGGGUUUAAGCUUCUGUCACUCCAGCAACCCAUCAUCUACUUACUACUCACAAAUGCCUUCCUCUAGGCCCAAAUAUGGUGAAGUGUUAUGUAGUCGAUGUUCACAUAACACCACUAGAGGAAAAACAACAUACAACAUAUCAAAGUACCGAACGAAUAUCAAACUCACAUGACUAUUAUCAGCAUGACUUAUCCCAUGUCCUCAGGAACAAAAGUAACUACUCACAAAGCAUAAUCAUAAUCAUGAUCAGAGGUGUAAUGAAUAGCAUCAAGGAUCUGAACAUAAACUCUUCCACCAAGUAAUCCAACUAGCAUCAACUACAAAGAGUAAUCAACACUACUAGUAACCUUACAAGUACCAAUAGGAGUCGUGAGACGAAGAUUGGUUACAAGAGAUGAACUAGGGAUUGGAGAGGAGAUGGUGCUCAUGAAGAUGGUUCCCCUCCGACGAGAGGAGUGUUGGUGAUGAUGAUGGCGACGAUUUCCCCCUCCGGGAGGGAAGUUUCCCCGGCAGGAUCGUCCUGCCGGAGCUCUAGAUUGGAUCUGCUCAAGUUCUGCCUCGUGGCGGCGGCGAAAGCACGAAAAAGCUCCCGAUUGAUUUUUUCUGGAACGAAAACCCUCAUAUAGCAAAAGAGGGGGGCUAGUGGGCUGUCAGGGAGCCCACAAGCUUGCCAUCCGCCAGCAGGGGGGUGGCGGUGGCAGGGCUUGUGGCGCCCUGGUAGCCCCCCUCCGGUACUUCUUUCGCCCAGUAUUUUUUAUAUAAUCCCAAAAAAUUCCACGUAACUUUUUAGGGAAUUUGGAGAUGUGGAGAAUAGUGGACUAAGAUUUGCUCCUUUUCCAAUCCAGAAUUCCAGCUGCCUGAAUUCUCCCUCUUCAAAUAAACCUUGCAAAAUAAGAGAGAAAAGGCAUAAAUAUGGUACCACAAAGUAAUAUAAUAGCCCAUAAAUCAAUAAAUAUCAACAUGAAAGCAUGAUGCAAAAUGGACGUAUCAACUCCCCCAAGCAUAGACCUCGCUUGUCCUCAAGCGAAAACCAAGUUCCAUAAACAUGUCCACAUGUUUAGGGACGAAGGUGUCGAUAAAACAUAAUACAGACAUGAGGGCAUCAUGAGCACACAUAGAACAACAAUACAUCAUAAAGAUUCUUAUGGGAAAGUAACAAUUCCUUCACAAAGCAAAGCAUAAAGCAAAAACCUUACCGAGAAGUAAUCAACAAUAGUCCAAAGUCAUUGAAGCAAUUGCAAUUUAUCACAACAUCAGAAAGAGUCAAAUAAGAGCUUGUAUGGCAAAUCCACAUACUCAAUCAUCUCUUUUGUUUUCCACAAUUGUUACAACUCACUUGGUACUCAUGAUGUCAAAGUUUCAGCUGGACACAGAGGAAGAUAGGGGCUUAUAGUUUUGCCUCCCAACGAUUUACCUCAAGGGUAAAGUCAACAAUAAUAAAGCAUAAGUAUUCAACUCCAAGUUGAUAUAUGAAUAUAGAUCUUUCCCAAGCAUGUGACGGUAGCCAAGACAAAGGCAAAAAUAGGGAAUUGGUGAAGAUCACCAUGACUCUUACAAGGGCAAAAAGUAAAGGUACAAGAUAGGCCCUUCGCAGAGGGAAGCAGAGGUUGUCAUGUGCUUUUGAGGUUUGAAUGCGUGUCCUCUUAGUGCGGAGGAACGUCACUUUAUAUUGCCUCCUGUGAUAAAGAACUUUAUUAUGCAGUCUAUCGCUUUUAUGUCUUCCUCAUCACAGGUUCGUACAAAGCUUAUUUUCCACACACUAAUAGAUCAUACAUAUUAGAGAGCAAUUUUUAUUGCUUGCACCGAUGACAACUUACUUGAAGGAUCUUAUUCAAUCCAUAGGUAGGUAUGGUGGACUCUCAUGGCAAAACUGGGUUGAAGGUUUAUGGAUGCACAAGUAGUAUCUCUACUUGGUGCGGGAGUUUUGGCUAACAUGAGGUGGAAGCAAUCAUCACAUGCUAAGGGAUCUCUAAUCAUAUAACAUUAUUUGGAACCAAGCAAACAUAAUUCAUUAUGUUGUCUUCCUUGUCCAACAUCUACUCCUAUGCAUGUAAUAGUUUGGUGAGUGCUCACAAUUGUAAAAAGUGUCUAAGAUGAUAUAUUUAUAUGUGAACCUCUCUUUCAUUAUUACUUCUUAUUAAUUGCAACAAUGACUGAGGUCUAUGUUGAUUUAUUCUCAACAAGUUUCAAUCGUCAUACGUGUCAUAUGUGAAGCUAUCACUUUCCAUAAGAUCGUCUCAUGAUCUUUCAUGCUAUCGUUCUUUUCAUACUUUUGAUCAUGGCACAAAGCAAAGCCCUUGACUAAGAUACUCUUUAUUAUAUAGCUCGCAAGCUCGAAUACAUCGGGGGAGAGACAAAAGCAAAAGACUCAAACUAAAUACUAAAGACUUAUUCCUCUAAGAGAAGAAAUAAAAACUGAAAAGGAAAGAACUAAAACAAAGGUAAAAGCAAAAGAUAUAAAGGUGAUACGAUACCAGGGCAACUCCCCUAAGCUUGGCAGAAGCCAAGGGGAUUGCCCAUACCAAUGCUUAGUUGUCCUCCUUUGGUGGUGAUGGUGGUGGAGUUGUUGCCUUUGAUUCCAAGAGAGCUAUCAAUCUUUGAUUUAUACCUUUGAGAUCUGUGACAUGGUUUUCCAACAAAACAACUUCACGAGAAAGGGAAAUAUUGCGAGCAUGAGUUGUUUCGCAAAACCUCAAGAGUUCAAUCAAGGAUGGAGACAACACGUGAGGAAGGGUUGGAGAAAAUCUACUCCUUCUACAUCUCCAAUGUUGAACAUAGGUUGAACUUCCUCCCUAGCUUGGGUUUUCUCCUUAGCUUGGUCCCUGGCUUCCGUAACUUCUACUCUUUUCAAAUCAACAUCUACUUCCUCAUGAACUUGGUGAAGAUCAUUCUCCCCAACAGAUUCCUGAGACAUCUUUGCUCUAAAUCUGCGGCAGACAACAAGCUCCAAACGGAAACAGAGGAAAACUGCGCGAUACGGAGAUCAAAACCUUCGGGCGAAUAUAUAUUGUUUUUUCUGGACCAGAAGGAGUGCUCCGCAAGAAAACGGAGUCCGAGAGGCACACGAAGUGCCCACAAGCCCUCCCUCCGCCACCAGGGGGGUAGGUGGCGGCUUCCAAGCUUGUGGCCGCCUCGUGCGCUCUCCGGACUGCUUUUUAUUUUUCUAAUUUUCCAAAAAUUCCAAAAUGGAAAAAUUUCCUAUUGGAAAAGAAUCGGAGUCCAAUUUCUUACCGAAACAGAUACCUCUUCAUUUUCAGGGUCUGAAACAGGCUGAUAAACAUCCCUUAUGUACUCCUAUGGAGUUAUGACAUUGAUGAUAUUGGUCUCAACAUUUAUGGGAGUACCAGAGAUGUGGUGCUUGAUUCUUUGCCCAUUUACCACUCUAGGAAAAUUUCCUUCCGUGUUAUUAAUUUUGAUGGCACCGGAACGAUAUACUUCCUCGACAACGUAAGGACCUUCCCAUUUAGAGGGGAGCUUGCGUGCGAAGAAUCUCAAACGAGAAUUGUAUAGCAGGACAUAAUCACCUACAUUGAACUCUCGUUUCUGUAUUCGUUUAUCCUGCCAUCUCUUAACCUUUUCCUUGAACAACUUGGCAUUCUCAUAUGCCUGGCCCCUCCAUUCAUCUAAUGAGCUGAUAUCAAACAACCACUUCUCGCCGGCAAGUUUGAAAUCAAAGUUGAGCUCUUUGAUUGCCCAAUAAGCUUUGUGUUCCAGCUCAAGAGGUAAAUGACAGGCCUUACCGUAAACCAUUUUAUACGGUGACAUGCCCAUGGGAUUCUUAUAAGUAGUCCUAUAAGCCCAUAGUGCAUCGUCAAGUUUGCUAGACCAAUUCUUUCGAGAUAUAUUGACGGUCUUUUGUAGGAUCAAUUUGAUCUCCCUAUUACUCAACUCCACUUGACCACUAGACUCAGGAUGAUAAGGAGAUGCAACUCUAUGGUUGACAUCAUACUUAGCGAUCAUCUUGCGGAAAACACCAUGAAUGAAGUGUGAACCGCCAUCAGUCAUCAAAUAUCUAGGGACUCCAAAUCUUGGGAAAAUGACUUCUUUAAGCAUCUUAAUAGAGGUGUGGUGAUCAGCUUUUUUAGUGGGGAUAGCUUCUACCCACUUAGUGAUGUAAUCCACAGCUACUAAGAUGUGAGUGUACCCAUUGGAACUCGGGAAGGGUCCCAUAUAAUCAAAGCCCAAGACAUCAAAUGGUUCAAUGACAAGUGAAUAGUUCAUAGGCAUUUCCUGACGCGUACUGAUAUUCCCUAUUCUUUGGCAUUAGUCACAAGACAAGAAAAACUUACGGGAAUCCUUGAAGAGAGUGGGCCAGUAGAAACCUGAUUGGAAUACCUUGUGGACACUUCUAUCUCCAGCGUGGUGUCCUCCGUAGGCUUCAGAAUGACACUUCUACAAGAUCUGUCCCUGUUCAUGAUCAGACACACAACGUCUAAUAACACCAUCUACUCCUUCCUUAUAAAGGUGAGGAUCAUCUCAAAAGUAGUGUCUCAAAUCAAAGAAGAAUUUCUUAUUUUACUGAUAGGUGAAACUGGGUGGUAUGUAUUUGGCUACAAUAUAAUUUGCAUAAUCGGCAUACCACGGUGCACUAUGUGAAGUGCGGAUGACAUUCAAUUGCUCGUGAGGAAAGCUGUCAUCAAUAGGUCGUGGGUCAUCAAGGACAUUCUCUAGCCUGGACAAGUUAUCUGCUACAGGAUUAUCAGCACCCUUUCGGUCAACGACAUGCAAAUCAAAUUCCUGUAGCAGGAGAACCCAUCUGAUCAGCCUAGGCUUAGCGUCCUUCUUCUCCAUAAGGUACUUAAUAGCAGCAUGAUCAUAGUGAAUAGUGACUUUGGAGUCAACUAUGUAAGAUAUGAACUUUUCACAUGCAAACACGACUGCUAAAAACUCCUUUUCCGUAGUGGCAUAGUUUCUUUGGGCACUGUCUAGAGUUUUACUAGCGUAGUGAAUAACAUUCAACUUCUUGUCAACUCUUUGUCCUAGAACAUCACCAACAACAUAAUCACUAGCAUCGCACAUGAUUUCAAAGGGCAAGUUCCAGUCAGGUGGUUGAACAAUAGGUGCAGUUAUCAAAGACUUCUUAAGUAUUUCGAAAGCUUCCUCACAAUCCUCAUCAAAAACAAAAGGAACAUCCUUCUGCAAGAGGUUGGUAAGAGGCCUAGAAAUCUUAGAGAAGUCUUUAAUGAACCUUCUAUAGAAACCACCAUGACCUAGGAAACUUCGUAUACCUCUGAUAUCUGUGGGGCAAGGCAUUUUCUCAAUUGCAUCAACCUUAGCCUUAUCAACUUCAAUGCCUCUUUCUGAAAUUUUGUGUCCUAAGACGAUACCUUCAUUAACCAUAAAGUGACACUUCUCCCAAUUCAAGACGAGGUUGGUAUCUUCGCAUCUCUGUAAGACUCGAUCAAGGUUGCUGAGGCAAUCAUCAAAGGAAGAACCGUAAACGGAGAAGUCAUCCAUGAAAACCUUGACAAUCUUUUCACAAAAGUCAGAGAAUAUAGCCAUCAUACAUCUUUGAAAGGUGGCAGGUGCAUUGCAUAAGCCAAAAGGCAUACGUCUAUAAGCAAAGGUACCGAAGGGGCAGGUGAAAGUGGUUUUCUCCUGAUCAGACUGUGCAACAGGUAUUUGCGAGAAACCUGAAUAACCAUCUAGAAAGCAGAAGUGUGUGUGUUUAGAUAGCCUUUCUAGCAUUUGGUCAAUAAAUGGCAAAGGAUAAUGGUCUUUCAUGGUUGCCUUGUUCAGUUUCCGGAAGUCUAUCACCAUCCUAUAGCCAGUGAUAAUCCUUUGUGGGAUUAGUUCAUCCUUAUCAUUAGGAACGACGGUGAUACCUCCCUUCUUAGGUACGCAAUGUACUGGACUUACCGAAUCACUAUGAGCAACAGGAUAAAUGAUUCCUGCUUCCAGAAGCUUUAAUAUUUCUUUUCUCACGACCUCUUUCAUAUUAGGAUUUAAUCUCCUUUGAUGAUCAGCAACUGGUUUAAAGUAAGGAUCGGUUUUAAUCUUGUGCUGACAUAGAGUGGGACUAAUACCCUUAAGAUCAUCAAGAGUAUAUCCAAUAGCAGCACGGUGCUUCCUCAGAGUUCUUAGUAACUUCUUCUCUUCGUGCUCUGAGAGGAGAGCACUAAUAAUAAUAGGAUAUAUCUCCUUCUCAUCAAGAUAGGCAUACUUAAGAGUAUCAGGCAACUGUUUAAGCUUGAACACAGGAUCACCCUUUGGUGGGGGAGGAUCCCCAAGCAGUUCAACAGGCAGAUUAUUCUUGAGAAUAGGAUAUUGUUCUAAGACAAUCUUAUCUAUCUCAUCUCUCUCCUCCAUAUGCAUAUCAUUUUCAUGCUCAAGAAAAUAUUGCUCUAAAGGAUCCGUAGGAGGUACGGCAAUAGAGGCAAGAGCAAUGAUUUCAUCCCUACCAGAUGACUCUCUUUCAUGGGGUUGUCUUCCAAACUUGGACAAGUUGAAUUCAUGAGACACACCCUCGAAACUAACUGUGACAGUCUGCUUAAUGCAAUCAAUGUGAGCAUUGACAAUGUUGAGAAAGGGUCUACCAAAUAUGAUGGGACAAAAGUUAUCCUGUGCAGUACCAAGGACGAGGAAAUCAGUAGGAUACUUCGUCUUACCACACAGGACUUCUUCGUCUCUCACAAUUCCCAAAGGGCAGAUAGUGUCUCUAUUAGCUAGCGUAAUAGUGACAUCAAUGGGUUCUAACUCAGCAGGUGCAAUCUCAUCUUUGAUUUCAUCAUAUAGAGAACGUGGUAUUGCACUAACACUAGCUCCCAUAUCACAUAAACCAUGGUAACAGUGAUCUCCUAUCUUGACAGAAACAAUGGGCAGGCCAACUAGAGGUCCGUGUUUGUCUUUCGCAUGAGGUUUAGCAAUUCUAGCAGAGUCCUCACAGAAUUUGAUAACAUGCCCGUCUAUGUCUUCGGCUAAGAGAUCUUUGAUAAUAGCAACACUAGGUUCUACUCUAAUCUCCUCAGGGGGUGCAAGUGGUCUAAUGUAACCCCUACGUAUCACAGUUGGAGCUUUAGAAUAAUCCUUUAUCCUAGCAGGGUAUGGUGGUUUCUCAGUGUAAGCACAAGGAACAACAGGAUCACUAAAAGCAAUGACUUUCUCCUCAACUAGAUUGGUUUUGGCUAUGUUGCUUUAUAUAGGAGAAUGAUAUUUAAACCACUUAUCUUUGGGAAGAUCAACAUGAGCAGCAAAAGAUUCACAUAGAGAAGCUACUAUCUCAGAGUCAAGUCCAUACUUAGCGCUAAAAUCUCUAGAAGUGUUUGUCUCAACAAAAGAUUUAACGCAAUCAAACUGGAAAUUCAUACCUGACUCCUUACCUUCCUCCAGCUCCCAAUCUUCAGAGUUGUGUUUGAUUCUCUCCAAUAAAUUCCACUUGUGGUCAAUAUCCUUCUUCAUAAAAGAACCAGUACAAGAAGUGUCAAGCAUGGUACGAUCUUCAUGAGAAAGCCGAGCAUAAAAGUUUUGAGUGAUGAUUUCUCUCGAGAGCUCAUGAUUGGGGCAUGAAUAUAGCAUUGAUUUAAGCAUCCCCCGAGCUUGAGCUAUGCUUUCCCUGUCACGAGGCCAAAAGUUAUAAGUAAAGUUCCAAUCACGAUGUACUAAAUGCAUAGAAUAAAACUUUUGAUGAAAUUCCAAUUUCAACCGAUUGUAGUCCCAUGAUCCAGUAUCAUCACAUAGCCUAUACCAUGUAAACGCCUUAUCCUUCAAAGAUAAAGGAAAGACUUUCUUCUUUACCUCAUCCUCGGGCAAACCUGCAAGCUUAAAUAAACCACAAACUUCAUCUACAUAGAUUAGAUGCAAGUCUGGAUGUGAAGAUCCAUCUCGUGUAAAAGGAUUAGCCAUCAGUUUCUCAAGCAUACCCGAAGGAAUUGAUAUUUUCAGUAGGUACCUCAGGUUGAGGAACAACUCCUCGUGCUUCUGUUCGUGGUGAAGAUACCCCGAACAAACUCCUCAAAGGAACAGUUUUCAUUGUGAGAAGUGACAAUAAAUUUCAGCACAGUAUAAAAAUGUUUCCUUACCAAUUUCCACUUACCAAAGGCGCUUCACUCCCCGGCAACGGCGCCAGAAAAGAGUCUUGAUGACCCACAAGUAUAGGGGAUCAAUCGUAGUCCUUUCGAUAAGCAAGAGUGUCGAACCCAUCGAGGAGCAGAAGGCUCUGAUACACGGAUUUCAGCAAGGUAAUAAUUGCAAGCACUGAAAGUAGCGGUAACAAGUGAUGGUGUAGCGAGGUGAAACGUAACAAGUGAAAAUUAACAAGUAACAAGUAGUAGCAACGGUGCAGCUAGUGGCCCAAUCCCUUUUGUAGCAAGGGACAAGCCUGAAAAAGGUCUAAUAGGAGGAAAAACGCUCCCGAGGACCACAAAGUAAUAUAACAGCCCAUAAAGCAAUAAAUAUCAACAUGAAAGCAUGAUGCAAAAUGGACGUAUCAACACCCCUCCGUGGAUUAGAAGCACGGUGGCUUCUACGGUUCUCUUUGGUGGUUUUGAGUCGUAGGAACGCCGUACUAUUAAGAGGGGAUCCAUGUCGGGAAGGUUUGGGUGGAAUCAAACUCUCACGCGCACAUUUUAUCUCCACCUCUUUUCCCUUGCUGCUAUGGAUCUCCCCCCUUGUUCUUUCUCUCUCUCUUGGCAAAAAGUCUCUAGCGGUAGUACCGCUAGAGGUGAGCGGUAGUACUGCUACUGAGCGGUAGUAGCGCUAGUAAGCGAUAGUACCGCCCCCUGGUUAGCGGUAGUACCGCUCCAAGACUGUAGUACCGCUCUCCUAGCGGUUGUGCUACGUCGGACUUUUUGCGAAGACUUUCUCAGCGGUGGUAGGCCCGGUAGUAUCUCUUGCACUCCCUUGGGUAAAGCGGUAGUACCACUCUAGUCCUAGCGGUAGUACCGCNNNNNNNNNNNNNNNNNNNNNNNNNNNNNNNNNNNNNNNNNNNNNNNNNNNNNNNNNNNNNNNNNNNNNNNNNNNNNNNNNNNNNNNNNNNNNNNNNNNNNNNNNNNNNNNNNNNNNNNNNNNNNNNNNNNNNNNNNNNNNNNNNNNNNNNNNNNNNNNNNNNNNNNNNNNNNNNNNNNNNNNNNNNNNNNNNNNNNNNNNNNNNNNNNNNNNNNNNNNNNNNNNNNNNNNNNNNNNNNNNNNNNNNNNNNNNNNNNNNNNNNNNNNNNNNNNNNNNNNNNNNNNNNNNNNNNNNNNNNNNNNNNNNNNNNNNNNNNNNNNNNNNNNCGGUUGGAUUUGUUCCCCCACUAUAUAAAGGGUUCUUCCACUCCGUGAACCCUACCUUUGACCCUCUAAGACUCCAUUGUUGCUCCCUAAGCUCAUAUGUGCCCGAUCUCUCUCCCUAGCCAAUCAAACUUGUUGAUUUCCUAGGGAUUGGUUGACAAGGAUAAGAUCUACACUUCCACCAAGAGAAACUUGAUCCCCCCCACUAAUCCCUUGCGUAUGUUGUUACUCUUGGGUGUCUGAGCACCCUAGACGAUCGAGGUCACCUCGGAGCCAUAUCCAUUGCGGUGAAGCUCUGUGGUUUUGUUGGGAGCCUCCGAGCAUUGUGUGGAGAUAGCCCCAACCUUGUUUGUAAAGGUUCGGUCGCCGCCUUCAAGGGCACCAAUAGUAGAAUCACGACAUCUCGCAUUGUGUGAGGGCNNNNNNNNNNNNNNNNNNNNNNNNNNNNNNNNNNNNNNNNNNNNNNNNNNNNNNNNNNNNNNNNNNNNNNNNNNNNNNNNNNNNNNNNNNNNNNNNNNNNNNNNNNNNNNNNNNNNNNNNNNNNNNNNNNNNNNNNNNNNNNNNNNNNNNNNNNNNNNNNNNNNNNNNNNNNNNNNNNNNNNNNNNNNNNNNNNNNNNNNNNNNNNNNNNNNNNNNNNNNNNNNNNNNNNNNNNNNNNNNNNNNNNNNNNNNNNNNNNNNNNNNNNNNNNNNNNNNNNNNNNNNNNNNNNNNNNNNNNNNNNNNNNNNNNNNNNNNNNNNNNNNNNNNNNNNNNNNNNNNNNNNNNNNNNNNNNNNNNNNNNNNNNNNNNNNNNNNNNNNNNNNNNNNNNNNNNNNNNNNNNNNNNNNNNNNNNNNNNNNNNNNNNNNNNNNNNNNNNNNNNNNNNNNAACUGUAACUUGUUAAGUAUAGGUUGCCCACCUAGUUGUUCAUCUAGAGAACCUUUUAUUGUUAACUGUAACUUGUUAAGAAAAGCCAAAAAUUGGUAGUUUCCUAUUCACCCCCCUCUAGUCAACCAUAUCGAUCCUUUCAAGUUCCAAAUCAUCGUAAAUUAAAAAUGCAAGUACGCUAUUUGGUGGUACUAUAGUCAGUAAAAAGAUAAUCCGAGAAAGGCAUCUUCAAUGCAAUUUGCAAUUUUUGUGAUACAAAAACUACAAAAAAAAUCAUGGGUAUAAACAUGCUAUUAAUAUGAAUGUAUAUUUCAGAAAGAAAAGAACAUCAUUACCUAGAGACCACUCCACUUAACAUAAUCCAUCGACAAAGUUGACGGUUGAACAUCACCAACAUAUUACGAAGUUGAUAGAACAUCAUGUGUCUGGAUGUAAAGUCACUGGAAUUUACUAAGUUGCAUACCCCAAUCCCUUGGUCAAGAGUGUGAUGCCAAUUAAGGUAAAAAAUAGAACACAUCUUGUGAUGAAGCAUUUGAAGGAAACAUUAGUAGAUAUGGAAGUCAUUAACAUGUCAGUCUUGUUGUUGCAAAUAAAUGUGGUGAAGAUAGAAGAAUAUGCUAGGAAGGCAAUGUAUCUUCAACCUAAUUAUCUUAGUGCAAUACUUGGAUAGGAGCCAAGGUAUCUUCACCCUAACUAUAUUACUUCAAUAAUUUAGUGUCAACUUCUUCAAAGCAAAAUAACUACUUAGAUGGCAAGUUAACUCAUUUUCUCCAACAUGGACAUCAAACAGCUCAGGUUGAUUCAAAGUUCUUAAACCAUGUCUGACUAUUGGACAUAACACACUGCUACUUGUAAACUGCAUUGAAUUUUUAUCCCCAAAGAAGAGAGGAUGAUGCAGCACAGAAGAGUAAGUAUUUCUCUCAGUUAAGAAACUAAGGUUAUCAAUCCAGUAGGAGAACCAAGCAACACCAGCACCUGCACACACAACGCAAACCUUCGCACCCAAUGUAGACGAGAGGUUGUCAAUCUCUCGGUGGUCAAGAAGCGAGAUUAAAUGACAUAUGAUAGAUUCAUAGAUUGAUAAAAGAUAAAAAAGUGCAGCAAGUAUUUUUGGUAUUUUUCUGUAAGUAAACGAGAUUGAUCUUAUAAUAAAAGUAGACCCUGGGGCGUAGGAUUCACUAGUGGCAUCUCUCUCAAGAAAAUAGUAUACGGUUGGUAAACAAAUUACUGUUGGCCAAUUGAUAGAAAAACAAAUAUUUAUGACGCUAUCCAAGGCAAUGAUCAUGAUAUAGGCAUCACAUCCAAAUCAAGUACACCGACUCCUGCCUGCAUCUACUACUAUUACUUCACACAUCACCGCUAUCCAGCAUGCGUCUAGUGUAUUAAGUUCAUGGAGAAAUGGAGUAAUGCAUUAAGAACGAUGACAUGAUGUAGUCAAGAAAAAAGCAUAUAAGAAUUCAUCUCAACUUCUUAUCCUUAAUGGCAACAAGACAUGCGUAUCAACUCCCCUUCUGUCACUAGGACUGAACACCGCAAGAUCGAACCCAUUACCGAGCACCUCUUCCCAUUGAAAGAAUAUCUAAUCUAGUUGGCCAAGCCAAACCAAAGCUUCGGACAAGAAAUACAAGGCUAUACUAAAUCAUGCAUAAAAGAUAUCAGCAAAGAACUCAAAUAAAACAAGGAUAAAUCUGAUCAUAAACUCACAAUUCAUCGGAUCCCAACAAACACACCACACAAAGUCAUUACAUCGAAUGGAUCUCCAUGAAGAUCAUGGAGAGCGUUGUAUUGAGAUACAAAGAGAGAGAGAGAGAGAGAGAGAGAGAGAGAGAUCCAUCUAGCUACUACCUACGGACCCGUAGGUCUAUGGUGAAUUACUCAUGUAUCAUUGGAGAGGGGGCAAGGUUGAUGUAGAACCCCUCCGUGAUGAGUUCCUCCUCCGGCGGAGUACCGGAAAAGGCCUCAAGAUGGGAUCUGGCGAGAACACAUGCUUGUGGCGGUGGAAGAAGUAUUUCAUGGACCCCCUUGAGGGUUUUGGAAUAUUGCUGAAUUUAUAGUGGAGGAGGUAGGGCAAAUGGAGCGUGGAGGGGCCCACACAACAUCAAGCCCCCCUAGGGCGCGCCCUGGUGUUGUGUGGGGAUCUCCAACAAGAUCUUCCUUGGCCUCCAAGUUCUAGGUGAUCCUUAUCUUCAAUAAAAAAUCCUUAAAAAAAUUCGGGACGGUUUGAUCUUAUCUCAUAUUGAUUUCCUGCAAAACAAAAACAGGGCAGAAAACAAGAAUUGAGACUUGGCACUAAGUUAAUAGGUUAGUCCCCAAAAAUGAUAUAAAAAGGUAUAAAAUGAUAAAAAUAUCCAAGAAUAAUAAUAUCAUAGCAUGGAACAAGCAAAAAUAAUAGAUACGCUGGAGACGUAUCACACACGAGGAAGGUUCAAAUAAAAAAUUGAGCUUCCACCUAGAUAGAACUCACCAUGGGGAGUGAAACUUUUUAGCUCACAUAAUAUCAUGCAUUGGCAUCAGGAAUUGUGUUAUGACACCAGAUAUCUAGCAUACACAUAGUCCCAUCAGUGAUUUUACAUAACAAAGAUAGUGGACUCGUAGCUGGCUCUACAAAUUUACUUUGAGUAAAACUACUCAUUUGACAUACAAAACAAAAUAAUGUACAAGUUUGUUUACAGCAAAGUACAUGGACAGUGCAACAAACUGAGCAAAGUAUCCCACUUAUGCCUUGGAUGGAUCUUUUUGCAAGGACACACAUACAACAUAUGGGUAGAGAGGGUGAUUGAUCUAAGAGAGAGUCGGUGGCGGCUUACUAUUGGCUCGCAUUUGCAUGCGACAUUGUUUUGGCUACAUGUUGACGACUCGCUUCGAUCCUAGAAACCCCUUGAUUAGCACGCAUAUGACGACCACGACGCCGUGCUUGGCAGAGACACAAAAUCUUUUUCCUCACUCUUCAUUUGCAUCUGUCAAUCGUGCAAUCUGUUUUCAUGGUGGAAAAAAUGCCCUAGGAUCUGAACCUCAAUGUGAAUCUAAGGUGAUUAGAAUGAGAAAAACAUAACAUUGCUCUAGGAGAGGGCAUAGUGCAUACAUAUCGGAUGUACUCGGUGGCGAUCGUGGUGUAAUGUUCAAAAGCCAAUCCAUCUUUGCAUGACCCUGGUGGCUUGCGUGCCGAGGGCCACCCUGAACUUGGUCAUGGUGCAACCACUCCUCUUGAUGCCCCAAACCAUCAUCGCUGUCGGCCUUGCUCGGCUGACUGACUUGCCCUGCACCCAAGGUUAUCCACUUCAUCAUCUAUGGCUAAGCAAAGAGGGACAAGAGGUUAAUAUGCGUAUCUUGGCGGCGGCGGCUAGGAGAAAUCAGGAUGGGAGAACCAUAACAAACGAGAGGAAUCCAUCGACUUCGAUGAGCAAUGCGACCAAACCCAACAAUGAGGAAGCUGUGAGGAGGUGCCUAUCCUCGAAAGGGAAUAGACCGAGGGAGUAUUCACGAUGGCGGCGGUAGCGUCACCCCACGAAGAUCCCAUGAUGGUGGUAAUAUAGGCGGCAUCGUCCCAAGAAGAUCCCCCGAUGGCGGCGGUGACGGCGGCGUCCCACGAAGACCCCCGCGAUGGUAGCGACGACAUGCUUCACGAUCACGAUAGGAAAUAGAUCGAGGGAGUCACGGUGUAUGCUUUUUUUUGUUGUGUGGGAGGUGAGGUAAAAAAAACUAGUAUGAGCGGGUGGUGGAAGAUGAGGCGAAAAUAAACCACAUGAAAAUAAACUGAUGAGACGAGACUAUCAACUCCUCAUUUGGAAGUAGAGAAUUGGUGAUGUAUGUAAAUAAUUAAUGUGAUUGAACGAGUUAUGGUAAGGUUAAUUAAUUCAUAUUUGGUUAUUUAAUAAUACAUUAUCAUUUAAUAACAUAGGUUUGAUUGUUAGAAACGAUCCACGUGUUAGGAAAGUUAGGAUUCAAAAUUGACUGCCACAUAAUUGAAUUUCAUUGUUUGGUAACGUAUUGUUGGUUCCUGUCAAUUGGAACAUGGCUGGUUAGAAAAACAUGAAAAGAUUAGAAAAGUUUUUAUUGAAAGGUGAAAAAAAAUUAAAGUGAAGAGGUGGUGGUUGGAGGUGAGACAAAAAAAACUGACAAAAUAAAUCGUGGAUGCUAUUCACCAACUGAGCAAUUAGGAGUAGAGAUCUAAACAAUUUCUACCAAAUUUACAGUUUCACACACAUCGUAACCAAAUAACUUUCACAUUUCCCAUGGUUCUCAGCUCACGACAACUUUCUCUUAACUUCUCAGUUUUUUUCUGAAUCCACGGCUCAACCAAACAAAAAAUUUCGACUCAUGUGCUUUGUUCGUUGUUUUUAGGGACGUGCUACACGUCCGCCAGCUGAUCUUUUCAAAAGAUCGGUCGGGCUGCGAGCUGUGGGAUAGUGUGCCAUCGAGCUGCCUAGCAACGUUCUUUAGUUUUGCAACACUGUUAGUGUUGCAGAAUCCUUGCAACAAAGACCAUGUUACAUAAAUAUUUCAACAUAGCUCAUGCUGCAGAAAACUUUUUCAACAUAGGUUAUGUUGUAUAUUUUUUCAUCUUUAUUUUUUUUGCAACAUAGGUAAUGUUAUGGAAUAAAUUUUUGCAGCAUAAGUGAUGCGUGUGUUGUAGAAAGCUUUGCAAUAGAACUCAUGUUGCAGAAAACUAUUGCAACGCAGGUCAUGUUACAUAUUUUUCAUCUUCAUUUUUUGUAACAUAGGUGAUGUUACAGAAGAAAUUUUUGCAACAUAAAUGAUGUUGAGAAUUUUUUUGCAAUGUAGAUUAUGCUGCAGAAACACGUCCGUCGUUGUGACGCAUGUUUCAACAGCACUGUCGUCAUUCGCCGUCGUAGUUUGCCAUUCGGUCAUCACAAUUGCAUCAUGGAGGCAGCCGGUGAUGAUUGGGGACUGCAUGGAGGAGCUUAGUGGGGUUGUGCCAAGCUCGGGCACUUCAAUGCAUCCAACAGCCCUGCGGCGGCCGACGGUCGUGGUGGUGGUGGGCGAUGGCCUCGCGAGCUACGACACUUCGCUAAGUGCAGGUGCCUUCUCCAUGAGUGCGUCGCUGGCCACCCAUGAUCAAAUGGAGAGACGACAGAGAGAGAUGGGAGAGAAAAGAGUAUCCUUAUCAGAUAAGAAAUGAAUGACUCUGUUCAGAUAAGGAAGAAAGGAGUAGUGUGGUGCACGGGCCUAUACGGAUCAGAGGCGGCGAACGACUCGCGGUGAAUCCAUCGGCUGAUCAAGAUCGUUUCCCUUAUUUGUAACCCAUAUAUUUUUUACAAAGUUACUACUUAUCAAUCGAGAGUUGGAUUUUACUACCCUGAAAUCUUCUAGAGCGAACAAUAAAAGCAUCCGUAAAUAGAGUAGGGCUUUUUGGAGCUCGGGGUCCAUGGAUUUCUUUAUUCUUGAAAAAUAAAAAAUUCAGACUUUUCGGUUUUAAAAGAAUCUAAGAAAGAAUAUGCAAGUACACAAAUAUGAAAUGUAUAUGUAUGCAAAAAUUCAGAAUAAAAUACCUUGAAAUGCGAUCUGUGUGAAAAAAAAAAGAAGUUCAUGCAAUUUUAAGAUGAUGUGAAAGUUUGUACCGCCGCGCGCGGCGGAGUCCAGCACAGCAGCACGGGAGAGUCGUUGCCACGGCACCCACCAUGUGCCAUUGCCGGCUGCCGCGCGAAUAAUUCGCCGCUCCAGCGCAGCGACGGGCCCCGCACCAACCUCCCCCACCCCACGUACCGGCGCCGGAAAUCACUCACGCACGCGCGAUGAACCCGAGCCAGCCACACGACAGCCGGCCGUCCUCCCGUUCGCCAGCUUAUAUUAGGCAGGCCGGCCUAAUCGCAGCUGUAUAAAAGCACCUCCCCCGCUCCCCCGUCGAAGCAACAAACGCCGGCGUCAAUCAGCACUGAGCAGCAACAGAGCGAACCUCCUUCCUCGCCCUCCUCUCCUCAAGCAAGCAAGAAGCCAGGCCACCAAGAUGGCAGGGCAGUUGAAGGCCAAGAUCCUCGCCGCGGCCGCCGUCGCCGUCGUCGUCGCCUCGUCUCUGGUCGGCACGGCCUCUGCGGCCGACGCGCCCGCCGCGGCGCCCACCUCCGGCGCCACCGGCGCCGCCCCGGCCUUCGCGGCCGUGUCGGUCGCCGCCGCCGCUUUCGUCUACAUCUUCUGCUAGGCGUGCGUGCGCUGUGGCGCCCGGUGGCGCCGCCGUGCGUGCGCGACGCGCAUGCUGUUCUUUUGUGGGAUUUGUUGUUGUGGGUUCAUGGGCGUUCCGGGUGCAAUUUCGUUUCUUGGUUCGGGGCUUGUAGUUGAUCGUGUGUGUACAGUGACGAUAUUAAAUUGAAUUCAUACGUUUCAUGUUCAUUCGUUUGCGAUUUGCACGUGGUAAAAAAAUCUGGCGGGUCACCUCUCCGUGACAGCCCACCUUUGUGUGUGUGUGUGUGCGUGUGCGUGUGCGUGCAUACGCGAUCUCACUCUCACGAGCUCUGUUGACUGUGGAUACACCUCUGUUACGAACCAUGUGGCAGCCAGAACAGCAAGAGAUACAAAUCAGCAGCUACUGUAUUUAUUAGUUGCUGAUCUCCUGUGCUGUUUUCUUCUUGGAAAAAAUGACAUGGGAUAAUGUGCGCUCCCCGUAGCCGAGUUCACCAUAAUUCUGAUCGACAAAACGAACUAGAUAGGCAGACCAUGAUUGCCUGUCGGGCCCUUGGACAGCACAGCUUCUAAAAUUCAAAUAUCCUAUUACAGAAAUAUUAUAUUUAUAGUUAAGUCAAAUUCGAAAAUUUUAGAAUGCUAAAUUCGUUUUUUGGGACAGAUUUUCCUUCUGAGUCAAUUUUUAAAACUAGAACUCUGUCUUUGUGUGCAAUUGGGUAAAAAUUUUGAUAAAAAAACAAAUGAGCUAUCAGC